UUGACGGUGGCUUAUUAGAAGUCCAAAUUGGUUGAGAAAGUAAUGUCCACCAAUUUUAGCAGAUACCCUUUUGGAUAAUUUUGAACAGAGCACUUAAUUGUUAAUGACUAGGGCCCCAAGGGUAAGUUCUAGGUAUGUUACCUUAGGCCUAAAAUAACCCUUUUGUUGUGAUGAUCUUUAAAGGGUGACCAAGAACGUACAAAAUUUUGUUCAUUAAACCAUAUUGUAGAGGCUAUCGAAAGUUUGCCUGCACCUCCAGAAAUCAAGGAUCCAUCGCAGAGGCACAGAGGAGAUGUUAGUUACUUUAUUUGCACAAGACCUGGGAGAGGUCCAGUUGUGCUGUCAGAUGAAAGUCAAUUUCUUCUCGACCCUGAAACUGGGUUGAAGAAGUAAGUUCAGAAGCAUUAUCUUUCUUUCACGGUGUUCUGUUCCUUCUCAGGCCAAUUCAAAUGGCUGUAUGAGCCAGAAGUAAUUCGUUUCGGAUGAUCCUUUUAGGCUGAACCCAAGAAAUGCCUUAAAAUGAUUAUCUGAGUUCAUCGCAGUUGGACAGUUUCUGUUGCUUGUUUCAUGUAUCUGUAACUUGCUUUUUGCUGUUUUAAGCCAAUUAUGGUCUUUGUACUCAUUGUCUUCAGCUUCUCGUGAUCUUUUGGCAGCAUCGCCUGCAACUUCUCUAUCUCUCUUUCUCAAUCUCGUCAAGCAUUUGAACAUAAUGGCCAAAUUUCAUUGUAAAUUAAUUACGUGCCACAGCAUGUCAUGAUGAAAUAAACAGCAGUGAUUGGUGCAGUAAACCCUUUUAAUGGUUCCAUAUAUCAGUCUGGUCUUUCAUAAUCUUUUCUAUGAUGAUAGAAUGCAGCAGGUUUCAAUAUUUUCUGCAUGAUACAUUAACAUCUUCAUUUUCAAUGUGAUAAUGUUAUGUUCAUUGCUUUAAAAGAAAUGAAACUUCCCCAUUUUGAAAGAAAUGAAACUUCCCCAUCUUCAUUUUAGAUGUUUUUUUAAUGACUUUUUUUGUGCUACCAGGAGCAGAAACUGAGUGGGGAAAUUUGAUUAAAAGACCAUUCAUUCGGGUUCCUGAGAUUGGAAAUGGGAAGUCUUUUCCUUACUCGAUUUCAAAUCUAUGUUUGGAACAGCUAGCCAAUAUGCUACUGAAACCUCAACUUCUUAAUCAUGCUGGAACUUUAGCUGCUCUACAAACUAGCCCACGGCCUAUGCAGCCGCCUUUGGAAUCAUUACUUUACCACUCCCAACAAACUGAUAUGCCUCAUUCAGAUUUCAAUAGCAGAAAUGGUUCGCUUCCAUUCCUAGACAAUGAUGAAUGCAUAUUUUUCCAGUCUUGUCAACCCUUUGCUGGGUGUUGAAAUAUAAGUAGUCAGCUGAUAGAAAAUGUAACUAAACCUAUUUAGCUAAUGGUGUAUUCACUUAGUCACUAAAAUGACAGGUGUUAGGCUUGAGUAGUGAAAGGCUGUACAAGCCACGUGUAAUGUUUCUAGAAAGCAGUUUUAGAUGAAGGGCUGUGAUACAAAGCAUGUAAUUGUAUCCAGCUGGUCUUUCUAACUAAAAUAUAGCACACACAGAGUCUGCUCUUUUCGAUUAGAGUAUUGAAAUACAAAGCUUCUGUUGAAUCGAUUCUUUGUGUAUUCUCUUUGCUCUCUCCACUAUUCUUCACAAAACUCGAACAUGGCCUCAGAGCCAGGUUGGAUCAUUUAGAUCUAGGCGUAAUCUGUGAAGUCACUGAGCUCAAUUGAAGCUCACCUGAAGCUCUGUUAAGCAUCUGAGAAGAGAAAUUAAUUGAUUUGAACCAAAAGAUGUCUGGGUCUGGAGGCUCGGAGGUGAGGACGCCAAUUUUCUCCGGUGAGAACUACGAGUUCUGGAGGAUUAAGAUGGUAACGGUUUUCAAAUCUCUUGGACUAUGAAGUCUGGUAGAAAAGGGGAUUCCAACCCUGAUUCGAAGAAGAAGAAGAAAGCUGAAGAGUCAUCGGAAGAAGAAGCUGAUGCAGAGAUGAUCGUUGUGCUCAUGAAGGAUUGCCAACGCCGACUCAGCCAAAAUGGCAUGGAAUCUGCUCUAUAGUGAAUAUCACGGUGGUGAUCAGAUCAGGUCAGUGAAACUUCAAAAUCUCAGAAGUGAAUUUGAAUCUAUGAGAAUGCGUGAGAAUGAACCUCUAACUGCAUAUCUCACCCGGUUGAAUGAAUUGAUAAAUCAAAUGAAAACAUUUGGAGAAGUGCUAUCAAAUGAAAGGCUGGUUCAGAAAGUGUUAAUUAGUCUUAGUAAAGUAUAUGACCCUAUCUGCUUAGUGAUUGAAAAUACAAAGAGUUUGGAGACUAUUGAAUUGCAGGAGGUCAUUGCAAUUUUGAAGAGCCAAGAGCAGCGUUUUGACAUGCAUAAUGUGGACACAGCUGAGAAGGCAUUUGGCUCUUUCUCAGUCAAUACACAAGGGCAGAACAAGAAUAGUACUCAAACUGGUUCUGCUAAGUCUCAGAAAAAUUGGAAGUCUAACAACAAACCAUGGGAGUCUAGACCUAAGCCACAACAAGCUGGUGCUGCACAGAACUCAAAUGGAUCACAAUAUGUGCAUCAAGAUGGAGUGAAGCCUCAAUGCAAAGUAUGCUCUAAAUUUCAUUUUGGAGAAUGUCGAUAUAAGGGUCAAUCUAAGUGCUAUAAGUGUGAUAGAUUUGGACAUUAGGCUAGGGACUGUACUGCAAACAAAGGAGUACAGAAAGCAAAUAAUGUAAGCCAAGUAGAAGUAAGGGGAAAUUUGUUUUAUGCAAACUGUGCAAUCUCAGAGAAGAGUGAAAAUGGAGAGUAGUAUAUAGACAGUGGUUGUAGUAACCAUAUGACUGGGAACAAGGAGCUGUUAAUUGACAUAAACACAAAUGUCACAGGCAAGGUGCAAAUGCCAACAGGGGAGCUUGUAGGUAUAACUGGUAUGGGCACUUUAGUACUUGACACAGGGUCUGGUACAAAGUAUAUCAAAGAAGUCAUGUAUUUGCCUGGUUUGAAAGAAAAUCUGUUGAGUGUAGGCCAAAUGGAUGAACAUGGUUAUCAUUUGGUGUUUGGAAGCAGCAUGUGCAAUAUUUUUGAUGAUUAUUCACUGGAGAAUCUUGUCAUGAAGGUGGCAAUGAGAAAGAACAUAUGCUAUCCAUUGUCACUAUCUUCAAAUGACUUUAUUGCACUAAGAGCUAGUGUGUCUCCAUCUACCUGGAUUUGGCACAAAAGAAUGGGGCAUUUACAUUUAAAAGGGCUAAACCAGCUCAAGGAAAAGGAGAUGGUGCAUGGUUUGCCGCAUUUGGAAGCUGCAAAUGGAGUCUGUGAAGGCUCAGUUUGGGAAACAACAUAGAGAAUGGUUUCUAAAGAACCAAGCAUGGAGGGCAAGUACUCCUUUUGAGUUAAUAUACAUGGACUUGUGUGGGCCUAUGCAAAAUGAGUCAGUUGCAGGUAACAAAUACUUCAUGCUUCUCAUAGAUGACUGCACAAGAAUGAUUUGGGUCUAUUUCCUUAGAUACAAGUCUGAUUCACUAAAUUGCUUUAGAAAGUUUAAGUCUAUGGUAGAGCUGCAGAGUGGUUUUAAAGUAAAAUGUGUAAGAAGUGAUAAAGGAGGAGAGUUUACAUCUAGUGAAUUCGAUAAGCUGUGUGAAGAGGCAGGAAUUCAAAGGCACUUUUCUAUGGCAUAUACUCCACAACAGAAUGGAGUGGUAGAAAGGAAGAAUAGGACGGUGGUAGAAAUGGCAAAGGCUAUGUUACAUGAGAAGGAGCUACCCUACUAUCUGUGGACAGAAGUUGUACACACUGCCGUGUACAUAUUGAAUAGAUGUCCUACCAAGGCACUCAGAAACAAAACUCCUUUUGAAGCUUAUAGUACAAGGAAACCAGGUGUUGCUCAUUUAAAAGUGUUUGGCAGCGUCUGCUUUGUACAUAAACCAGCUGAAGGGAGACAGAAAUUGGAUGCCAAGAGCACAAAGGGAGUGUUUGUUGGUUAUGCGACUUGUGAAAAGGGUUAUAGAGUUUUUGACCCUUUCACUAAGAAGCUCUUAUUGUCAAGAGAUGUUGUAUUUGAUGAAGGAGCAACCUGGAAUUGGAAGGAAGUGGCUGAGAAUCAAGUGCAAGUGAUGAACUAUGAAGAGCAGCCUAGGAAUUCUGAAGCAACACCAUUUGAAACAUCUGUAGGAAAUCAGAAUCAUGGUUUCAUGUCAGGAGAAAGUGUUUCACAAGGAUAAUCAAAUAAAAUAGGCAGCAGAGUAGAAGACACUCAAAGUUUUGAUCAUACUCCAUUGAAAUGGAGAAAGCUGGAUGAUAUUUUAGCACAAUGCAAUCUGUGCAUUAUGGAGCCUAAGAAAUUUGAUGAAGCUGUAAAGGAUGAGUCAUGGAUAAAGGCAAUGAAAGAUGAGUUGUCAAUGAUAGAGAAGAAUGCUACAUGGGAGCUUGUUGACAGACCUACGGAAAAACCAGUUAUUGGAGUUAAAUGGGUGUUUAAAACCAAGUUAAAUCUGGACGGUUCAGUGCAGAAAAAUAAGGCAAGGUUAGUGGCUAAAGGAUACUCUCAGAAACCAGGGGUAGACUACAAUGAAACAUUUGCACCUGUGGCUAGAUUAGACACAAUCCGAACUCUAAUUGCAUUAACAGCACAGAAGAGUUGGAAGCUGUACCAAUUAGAUGUUAAGUCAGCUUUUCUAAAUGGCAUCUUAGAAGAAGAAGUGUAUAUAGAUCAGCCGGAGGGAUUUGUGGUGAAGGGGAGUGAAAGCAAGGUUUACAAGCUGCACAAAGCUCUAUAUGGCUUGAAAUAGGCACCAAGAGCUUGGUAUAGUGAAAUUGAUGGUUAUUUUGCUGAGUGUGGUUUCACAAAGAGUCAAAGUGAGGCUACCCUUCAUGUCAAGACAAGAGGUGAAGCAAGCAUCCUGAUAGUGUCUAUCUAUGUAGAUGACAUAGUCUACACUGGAAAUAACCAAGCAAUGUUGGAAGAAUUCAAGCAAGAUAUGAUGGAGAAAUAUGAGAUGACAGAUUUGGGACUCUUGCACCAUUUUUUGGGGAUGGGAGUGACUGUAAACCUGUGGCUAUCCUUCUUGUUCCAACUGAAAAAUUAAGUAAGGAUGAUGGGAGUGGUUCCACAAAUGAGGAGCAAUAUAGAAAGAUCGUUGGAAGUCUGCUGUAUCUCACAGCUACAAGACCUGAUAUUAUGUUUGCAACUAGCUUGCUUGCAAGGUUUAUGCACUGCCCCACCACCAAACAUCUUGGAACAGCAAAACGGGUUCUUAGAUAUGUGAAAGGAACACUUGACUAUGGUCUGGAGUAUGUGAAGGGAAAAGAGGCAGUUCUAAUUAGCUAUUGUGACAGUGACUGGAAUGGCUCAGUGGAUGAUAGCAAGAGCACUUCUGGAUAUGCAUUUUCUUUUGGAAGUGGAGUGUUUGCUUGGGCUUCAGUCAAACAGAACUGCGUUGCACUCUCUACUGCAGAGGUAGAAUACAUUAGUGCCUCUGAAGCAACAACACAAGCUAUUUGGUUGAGAUAUGUUUUGGAAGAUUUCGGAGAAUUUCAAACAGAGGCCAUACCACUAGACUGUGAUAGCAUCUCAGCUAUUGCCAUUACAAAGAACCUUGUGUUCCACCAGAAAACCAAGCAUAUUGAUCGAAGGUACCAUUUUAUUAAAGAUGCUUUGCAAGAAGGAAUUGUGGAUUUGAUCUAUUGUCCUACGAAUGAGCAGCUAGCAGACAUUUUUACAAAGGCUCUAGCUAAAGAUCGUUUAUGCUAUCUUAGAGAGAAGCUCGGUGUGAAAUCAGCUCACAACUUAAAGGGGAGUGUUGAAAUAUAAGUAGUCAACUGAUAGAAAAUGUAACUAAACCUAUUUAGCUAAUGGUGUAUUCACUUAGUCACUAAAAUGACAGGUGUUAGGCUUGAGUAGUGAAAGGCUGUACAAGCCACGUGUAAUGUUUCUAGAAAGCAAUUUUAGAUGAAGGGCUGUGAUACAAAGCAUGUAAUUGUAUCCAGCUGGUCUUUCUAACUAAAAUAUAGCACACACAGAGUCUGCUCUUUUCGAUUAGAGUAUUAAAAUACAAAGCUUCUGUUCAAUCGAUUCUUCGUGUAUUCUCUUUGCUCUCUCCACUAUUCUUCACAAAAACACUGGGACACUUAGAUCACUGGGGCUUUUGUCUGUGUUUGAUUUGCAAGAUUCUUCAGCUGCAGCUCACUUCAUCCCAUCGAGAUCCAGGUAGCCUUAAUUGUAUUUCUAACUCAAGCAGUCUGAGACAUUUCUCAGAUGAGAGCAACAAUCAAAGUGGGACUGGAUGAGAUUUCUACACUAAAGAAAGCAGAUUUUCACAACCCCUCAGAUUGCUUGGUUGGUAACCUGAGCUCGAGCCAGGAUCUUCAGUCUCAGUGUACCUCUGCCAGCCUAGGCGACUCCCAGGCUUUCUCCAGGCAAUACCUGGCAGACAACUCAGGUUUGCAACUAGGAUGCAUUGUUGAGGUGUUUCUCGCUUGAUGGUGCCUGAUAUAUUGAUCUUAUUGUGCAUUCAGAAAACUCAAGCUAUCUUAGUUGAUCUUAUUGUACAACAUUUGUGUUUGAUGUACUUCCGGUCUCUGAAAGAGGUUAUAAAACUAAAUGGUUUAUUUAUCCAUACUUUUCCUGGCUUAAAAAGCCUGAGGCCACAGAAUUGAAAUUACCAGUACAAAGAUAUUUGAUAACUGAUUCUUCAACUUCUUGGAGGAAAACCCAGACCAUGCUAACAAGCUAGGAUCAGAGAAGGUCAUACAUAUUUGGAUGCUAAAAUACAUCAAAUAUUGAAUGCCUUAAUACAUUCAAGAAUACACUAUGAUUCUUUCAUUUCCUAACAAGUCAUUGUCCAGAGAACAGAACAGCUAAUAUCUCCUAAAAUAGAAAUCAAGAAAUAAAGUAGCUUUUAAAUUACAAAACAGAUUCUACCUCCAGCUUGCUUGCAGUCAGGAAAAUAAGCAAUUGAUGACGCCCUUAUUGCGACCUUGAAGGAAUUUCAUGAAGAUGUUAAAAAGUAAUUAAGCCACACAAAUUUUGUGCACUUAAUGUCAAAAAUUAGCUCAAGUAAUUACAAGAUAUUCACAUUGAAUCCAUACAGAAAAACCAAAAGCAGCAGAUGAUACACACAUCAAGCACGUCUCUUACGAAGAUGCCAAGAGUUAGGUUCAUGGUAUCUAUCAUAUAGCAGUUCAAUAUGUUCUUGAUGCUUGCGCUUGCUCAUCUUGGUGGGAUCUGCCACUUUGAAGAACCUGUGCCAGUUCCACGAGCCAUUGGGGUCGACGACCGUCACCUCGCGCAUGUACUCCUUUGUGGUCAUAACCAGCUCAUGGUAGAUCACCCAAGCUGGUUGUCUCUGGAAGACGGCGCUGCUUGGGUGUAUAUAAACAGGUUGGUUCUCCACUAGGGUUUUAUACACAAACUUAUGCUAGGUUUUUAUACACAAACUUAUCCUAGAGCUUACAUUGGCAUGUCAAUCAAUGAAAACUGUUAAAGGCGAUGGUAGGAUGUGUAAUAUGCCAUCUGAAUUUCCAUAUCAACUUUUAAAACAGUUUUGCCAAGAAAAACAAUUGCGGUAUCAAAAUGCCUAACAUGUCCGCACAAGAGAGCCCAUUUGAAGAGCAUAUACUGGCAAUUUAGCUAUACACAAAAGAGUAGCUAUAAUUUAUAAAGAUACUAUACUUAACCACUGAAAAAAUGGUGGAAAAAAGCACUUCUGCUAAUAAUGCUCUGAAAACAGUGUAUGUAGUAACAUCAACAUGACAACUCGUAAUGACCUAUUCGCUGCUCAGGUACCAUAUAUCUAGAUUUUAAAACCCAAACUAGGCCUGAACAACAUUUCAACAUUUCCAUCAAGUACAGACAGCAAAAGGCAUGCCUAAUCCACGACUACUGCAAAAAUACAAUGUACCAAACAUGAGCAAACCUAGAACAUUAAUCUACAUCUUUUAAAACCAUUCAUGCACAUGUGAAACCAGAAAAAAAGAUGCAUGCAACCAUGAAUAACAACGCUUUUUCCGGAAAAAUUCCCAUGACAAUAGGCUCUUUAUUUCAAAUGCAAACUUUGAAAUUAAGAAGUAACCAAUUUGUUGGAGAAUUGCCUUCAUCGUUGAAGAACUGCGCAAGUUUAGAAGUUAUUGAUCUGGGAUACAAUAAAUUAUCAGGACCAAUACCUACAUGGUUAGGCGUGAGCUUCAAGAAUUUGGUUGUCCUGAUGCUUUCCACCAAUCAAUUCAAUGGAAGCAUGCCCUCACAAUUAUGCCAUCUAACACACAUUCAAAUUAUGGAUUUCUCUAUGAACAACAUCUCUGGAAGCAUACCCAAAUGCCUCAACAAUUUGACUACUCUGGCUCAAAAAGGAAAUCCAAGUCUAUCCAGCACACAUUCUUAUAUCAGAGUUAUGGUAAUAACACAGCUGCUGGUGCUAAUUAUGAGGAUGAUGCAAGCUUCAUAUGGAAAGGAAGAAUGCAGACAUACAAAAGCACUUUGGGACUUGUGAAGAGAAUUGAUCUCUCAAGCAAUAGAUUAACAGGGGAGAUUCCAAGUGAAAUCACUCAUCUUGUUGAGUUGAUUUCUUUAAACCUUUCAAGAAACCGGUUAACAGGUCAAAUAACUCCAGAGAUUGGAAAUUUGCAGUCAUUGGAUUCUCUUGAUUUGUCAAGAAACCGGAUAGAUGGAAGAAUUCCGACAAGCCUUGCUCGGAUAGAUCGUCUUAGUUUCUUGGACUUGUCAUAUAACAACUUGUCUGGCAAAAUACCAACAGGCACUCAGCUCCAAAGCUUUGAUCCCCUUGAUUAUGCUGAAAAUCCUCUACUAUGUGGACCUCCACUUAAAAAGAUGUGUGCUGAUCAAAAUGAGCAAACUGGCUUGAGCAAUGAAGAGGAUAAGGAUGAGUUUAUAACAUUGGGAUUUUACAUCAGUAUGGGGAUUGGGUUUGCUGCUGGAUUUUGGGGAGUUUGCAGCACUUUGAUAUUCAACAGGCCAUGGAGAUAUACAUACUUCAAGUUCUUGAAUCAUUUAAAUAAUUGGCUUUAUGUGAAGAUAGCUUUGAUCAAGCGGCAACUAAAGCUAGCAUAUGCCUAAUAGAUAAGCUCGCAACGGUACUCUUUCUCUCUCAUCGUUAAUUUGGUUUUAUAAUUAUUUUCUUAUUGCAUUUUUUCUUUUCUCCAAAUUGACGGGUAUUAAUUUGUUUACUUUGAUAUUUAGCUGCAGCAUCUAAAUUAGGAGAAAAGUAGCUGUAGCUGAAUGCCUCCUUUCAGUUCAAGUGUUGAAGAUUGCCAGUACGCGCACGCAUAGGUAUCUGGAGAAGAGUUUAUGAGUUAAUUUGGAGUGCUCAGUAGGAAUAAAUAUGAGUUAUAUUAGUGUUAAUUACUUGUCAAAAUAAUUAAUUCAGAGUUCUCCGAUUAUUAUUAUUAUUAUUUUUUGUUUGUUGAGAGAAAUAAACAUAUCGAUUUUAAUCCAAUCUCACUCCGAUUAAUGUAUUAAUUCCAGCUAUAGUGUUAUUUUAAUUAACUAAACCAAAGCCAAAGCAGACUUGAUUUCAAAUUACAAUGUGUGGCUCUGUUUUGGUCAUCUAUUUGCAACGUACAGCUUCUCCUUGUAAAUUGGGGGUCAGCUUCUCCUUGUAAAUGUGUGGCUCUGUUUUGGUCAUUCUUUCCUUUCAUAAUUCAAUAUCUUGUUUUGGGCACAUGGUAGAAGAUGCAUUUUUGUAAACAGACUUUUUGUAUUUGGUCAGGCUUGCAGUGCUCUAUUUUGUGGAUUUUAAGAUUGUAGUAGGCUUACUUGUGAGCUGCAAAAUGCCUUGUACCAAAGUUUAUGUAUAAAAUGUGUGCUAAAUCUUGUGUGUGGAGUACAAGAAUGAAGGUCUUCCUGGAAAAGCAAUCACAAGCAUUUUCUCUCUUUUCAAUUUGUAGAAAUGUUCAAGUUCUUGCCCAUUACUUGCAGUUGCAGAUAUAUAGUGUUGUGUAGCAUAAAGGCUCCAACAUAUGCAAUUCCAUCAAGGCUUGCAGGCCAAUCACUGCUGUCUCUUGGAUAUUACAAACAUUUGUAGAGCCAUAAUGAAAACUUGAUAGGCUAGCAAGGGGCUUGUGGCUCAAGCGGUUAAGAGCAUCUAUCCCUGCACUCGAGGUCUUAGAUGUGAUUCCCUCCUCCCAAUGUCGCUUGUAACAAAAAACAAAUAAAAAACUUGAUAGGCCCACUACUAGCAACACUGAUAUUGUCCCCAACUUAACCACCUAUAAAGCCCAGUUGGUGUGGGGUUUUAUCACCAAAGGCCUAGGUGAUAUUAGUAGUAGAACCAUUCAUUAUAUAUUGUAUUUUAUUUAAUCAAGUUUCCGAUGUUUGACUCAUUCUUCAACACGCCCCUUCACGUAGGACCACCACAUAGCAGGCCACACCUGGAGCCAAGUCCACAUUAGAGUCAAACAUUCACGCCCAACACGUGAGCACCACGUAUUGGGUAAAGGGUAAGGGUAAACAUUCAAGCCGAACAUGUGAACACCACAUAUUGGGUAAGGAUAGAGACCCAAUUCAGGCUCAGUCAAUCAAACCUGCUCUGAUACCAUGUUAAAUUCAGAGAGACGGGCUAUCUGCCCACUACUAGAAACACUGAUAUUGCCCCCAAUUACAAAGCCCAGUUGGUGUGAGGUUUUAUCACAAAAGGCAUUGGUGAUAUCAGUAGUAGAACCAUUCAUUAUAUAUUUUAUUUUAUUUAAUCAAGUUUCCGAUGUGGGACUCAUUCUUCAACAAUGUCCACCAAUUUUAGCAGAUACCCUUUUGGACAAUGUUGAAUAGAGCACUUAACUUGAUUGUUAAUGACUAGGGCCCCUAAUAACACAGAGAGAGAGAGAGAGAGAGAGAGAGAGAGAAAAGAGAGUUGAAGAAGAAAGACAGAGUAUUUUUAGAGAGAUUUGUAUAUUGAUCUUUUCAUCAUGACUGAUUACAAUAAUGACUCUGUUAUAUACAGAGUUAAUCCUGGAUUCUGUUAUAUACAGAGUUGAAGAAGUAACAUUCGGAUGAUCACCAUUCAAUACAUGGCCUUCCUCCUAAAUGUCAACGUGCAAUAUUGAACUUUGGGUUAAAGUAGCUUGAAUUCCCCCAACAUCAUGACAUUGUAUGACCUUUGUACUGAUGGAGCCUCGAAGCAAAUGAUCGACAAACGUCUAGAUCCAAGAACAAUCAAAUGAGAAUGACAAACAUCUAAAUCCAACUUCCAAGAACAAGCAAAUGAUCAACAAACAUCUAGAUCUAUUUAAUAAUGCAGUCCCCCUCACCUAAGGUCCUAAAAAUGAGGUCAUGUGAGGUCCUCUUUAAAAACGGCCCUUAGAUUAAUCUAACGGCACAUAUCAUAAAUAAUAUUAACCCACACUCAUACUCCUUGUUUUAUUCAAACGCACGUUCAAACGCUUGUCUUCAGCUUCUCGCGAUCUUUUGGCAGCAUCGCCUGCAACUUCUCUAACCUCUUUCUGAAUCUCUUUCUCAAUCUUGUCAAGCGUUUGAACGUAAUGGCCAAAUUUCAUUGUAAAUCAAUUACAUGCCACAGCAUGCCAUGAUAAAAUAAACAGCAGUGAUUGGUGUAGUAAACCCUUUUAAUGGUUCCAAAUAUCUGUCUGGUCUUUCGUAAUCUUUUCUAUGAUGAUAGAAUGCAGCAGGUUUCAAUAUUUUCUGCAUGAUACUUAACAUCUUCAUUAUCAAUGUGAUAAUGUUAUGUUCAUUGCUUUAAAGUGUGGCCAGAGGUUAACAUUUUUGCAUGUUCUCUGCAGGUAUAUGGGUACAAUAGUCGGUAUUAGUGGAGGAAUCUUUAAGCUACUCUGAGCUUUUACUAAGUGAUCUUCAUUAUAAUGAAGGUUCUUUCUGUUUGCUUUAAAUGUUCAACAGUUGAUUCUUCUACAUUCACUUCAUUAACAGGUAGAGUGGGAUGAGCCAGGGUGUUGUGAUAAACAGAACAGGGUUAGCUCAUGGGAAAUUGAGACUCCUGAAAAUCUUUUCAUAUUUCCUUCUCUGACUUCGAGUCUUAAACGACCAUUACACUCUGGAUUCUUGGGAAGUCUGUUAGAUGUUUUUUGGGGUCCUGCAAGGUCGGUCCUCUUUUCCCAAAAUGGCUUCAAACUCAAAAUGAUUCUUCCCAGCUUGAUAUUUCGAAUGUUGGAAUUUCUGAUAUCUUUCCAAAUUGGUUUUGGAGUCAUUUUCGUAACGCAUACCUUAUUAAUCUCUUACAGAACCUAAUCAGAGGAAUAUUUACAAAUUUGACAGUGGAGUUUGCACAUUACCCAGAACUACAUUUGACUUCGAACCAAAUAGAAGGUCCAAUUCCCUCAACUCUAUCACAAGCCUCAUAUCUGGAUAUCUCUAAUAAUAACAUUUCAGGGUCGCUUUCUUUCCUAUGUGCAAGUGCAGAUAUGAGUUUAACAUAUCUUAAUCUUUCAAGCAACAGUUUUUUUGGAGAACUUCCUGUUAUAAAAAAUAAUAGUUUUCCUCUUUCCGUAAAGCCAAAUACAAAACAUUUAUGUUAUAAAUAACAUAUAAACAAAUUGGAAAGCUUUGAAGGUAUAAUGAAAUUGAAGAAAACAAAAUAAUAGGUAAGUAAAAGGAAAAUUAAUAAUAAGUAAGAAGGUGAGUUUGGUACGGUGAAGCACGUCAAAGACGCUGUCCUAAAGCCUUUGUAGCCUCCCUACGUGCAGGUACUGACGGUCUACAAGACUCCAAGAUACGACCCCUUGUACACAAACUCAAGAUUCGCUAUGAGCACGUUCACAGACAGAUAUAGGUAUCCAAGUCACAUAACCAUUGCCCAAAAUAAUAAUAAUAAUAGUAGAGAAUAUAUGUAAAAGUAGAAAAGGAGAGAAUUAGAAUGUGUAUGUGAUAUUCUGAUAAUGUAUUGUGUGUUAUUGUGUAUAAUUGUGUGUAUUCAAAUGUGAAGGAGGAGUGGCCUUUUAUAGGCAUCCAAAAACAUGUAACCUUCACCAACCAUCAAAGUUCACCAACCAAAAAAUUAAGGCUUUCACCAACCAGAAAUAAAACUUGAAUAUUAAAUAUUUAUAACCCCCACAAUAAAUAAAAUAAAACAAGCAAAAUAAUUAAAUAAAUAAAACGGUUAAAUUUUAAAACCUUUUAAAAUUCCAACACUUCCAAAUUGUUGGAGCCAUUUGGAGACUCUAGUCAUGCUUGAUUUGAGUAACAACGCUUUUUCCGGAAAAAUUCCCAUGACAAUAGGCUCUUUAUUUCAAAUGCAAACUUUGAAAUUAAGAAGCAACCAAUUUGUUGGAGAAUUGCCUUCAUCGUUGAAGAACUGCGCAAGUUUAGAAGUUAUUGAUCUGGGAUACAAUAAAUUAUCAGGACCAAUACCUACAUGGUUAGGUGUGAGCUUCAAGAAUUUGGUUAUCCUGAUGCUUUCCACCAAUCAUUUCAAUGGAAGCAUGCCCUCACAAUUAUGCCUAUAAAGUUUAGAUUUCCUCAUGCCAAAUAGUGUUGAGAUUUUCUAUAUUUAUACACAGUAUGAAUCAGUUACAGAAAUUCAAAAGAGCUGAUAUCAAGGAGGCGUUACACUUGCUAUGAUCAAGGAAAGAUUACAAAAUAAUUACAAGAUUCUUAGGAAGGAGAGACUACAGCUGGUGCUAAUAUCAUGGGUGAUCUGCAGCUGUUACAGCUGCAUUUGUAACAGUUGAAGGUGCAACUAAUACGCCCCCUCAAGUUGAGCGUUCUUGAACUCGCAACUUGUCUCGGAUGAAGGUGAAGCGAGGGGAACUCAAUGGUUUGGUCAUGAUAUCAGCAAGUUGAUCCUUGGUGGAGAUAAAUUUAACACUAAGCUUUCCUGCAGAAACUUGAUCGCGAACAAAAUGAUAAUCGAUCUCUACAUGCUUUGUACGAGCAUGAAAAAUUGGAUUAGCAGAAAGGUAGGUAGCUCCUAAGUUGUCACACCAUAAAACAGGUGAAGUAGAUGUGGAAAAUCCAAGUUCCUGGAGUAAGGAGCGAAGCCAAGUAAUUUCAGUGGAAGUAUUGGCAAUGGCACGAUAUUCCGCCUCAGUGGAGGACCGAGCAACAGUAUUUGCUUUUUGGCUGACCACGAGACCAAGUUACAGCCAAGAUAAAUAGCAAACCCACCAGUUGAGCGGCGAUCAUCUGGACAUCCAGCCCAAUCCGCAUCACAAAAAGCUUGAAUGGCAUGAGAAGAAGAUUUGCUGAGGAAAAGUCCAUGAGAGAUAGUUUUCUUGAGAUACCGAAGAAUUCUCUUGACACUAGCCCAAUGUUCACUGGUGGGAUUGUGCAUAAAUUGACAAACUUUGUUAACAGAGAAGGACAGUUCCGGGCGAGUUAAGGUGACAUAUUGAAGAGCACCAACGAUGCUUCUGUAUUGUUGUGGAUUAGAUAAUGGGUCACCAUCAGAUUUGCUAAGCUUGCUAGAAGAGGCCAUUGGUGUAUCAAUAGGCUUGAUGUCGGCCAAAUGGGAUCGCUUUAGGAGAUCAAUGAUGUAUUUGUGCUGAGAAAGGAUUAAUCCACCAGAAUGUGGUACCACCUCAAUGCCCAAAAAAUAAUGAAGUAGACCAAGAUCUUUCAAAGCAAAUAUGGAGCUAAGAGCAGAGAUGACUUUUCCAAUGGCAGCACUAUUAUUUCCUGUGAUGAUUAUGUCAUCAACAUACACAAGAACAUAAAUAAUCGUAGUUCGAUCAUUAAAAACAAACAAUGAACUAUCCAUCUUAGAGCCAACAAAUUGAAGUUGUAAAAGGGAAGAACUCAAACACUGAAACCAUGCCCGUGGUGCUUGUUUUAAGCCAUAGAGGGACCGAUGAAGUCUACAAACAUGAUGCGGUUGAGAGGAAUCAAGAAAACCCGGUGGUUGAGUCAUGUAAACCUCUUCUUUAAGAUGACCAUGGAGAAAAGCAUUACUUACGUCCAACUGACGAGCUUCCCAACCAUUGCUGACAGCAAGUGACAAAACUGUGCGAAUAGUGGUGGCUUUGACAACGGGACUAAACGUCUCAGUGUAAUCAACUCCCUCCUGUUGAUGAAAUCCCUUUGCAACUAAACGUGCUUUGUACCUAUCAAGUGUACCAUCAGCCUUGCGCUUGACACGAAACACCCACUUACACCCAACAACAUUCAUGGAAGGAUCAUAGGGAACAAGUGACCAGGUGCCAUUCUUUAUGAGGGCAUUCAAUUCUUCAGUCAUUGCAACACGCCAGUGGUGUUGUUUGUUAGCAUCAGAGAAACAAGUUGGCUCAUGUUGGGUGGCAGCUUCAGUCAAAAGUGCAUGAGGAAGAGUGUAUUUGGGAUUGGGGGUUGGUCUCGGGCGAAGAGAGUAUCUAGCAUUUUGACGCCCCUGACUUGGGUUUUCUCCUUGAGUGCCUGCCAAAACUAUAGCUAAUUCCUGACCAUUGGAGUUAGUAACAGUAGGAUCAAUAUUUUCAUGUUGGGAAAGAAUCAUAGAUGAAUUAUCAUUAUGAGAGAUGUUGUGAGGAGAUAAUGCAAGACUUGAAGCUGUAGUGGAAUUUGAAUUUAAAUGCACAUUUGGUGAGCUAGGAGAAGCAUUAGAAUUUAAUGGAGAGGAAAGAGGAGAGGAGGAAUUACCAAAUAAGGACACCCUUGCUGCACGUGCUGAACUUGGGAACUCUAUAGGCAACAAAAAAGGAUCAGAUGAUGGGUCAUUUGGAGCCUGUAAUACAGAAGUUGGAGAAAUAGAAAAUGGAAAGGUGUGUUCAUGAAAACGUGCAUGUCUAGAAAUAUAUAUCCUGCCUGUUUGGGGAUUUAAGCAUCGGUAACCAUGGUGAUUUGGAAUAUAUCCCAAGAAAAUACACGGAAGAGAAUGAAAAUCAAAUUUAUUUUUAUUAUAAGGAAGAAGAUAUGGGAAAACUAAGCAGCCAAAAACUUUGAGAAAACAAUAAUCAGGAGAUUGAUUAAAGAGAACUUGGAAAGGAGAUUGAUCAUGAAGGACUGAAGUAGGCAUUCUAUUUAUCAAAUAAACAGAAGUGUCAAAUGCAAAAUGCCAAUAUUUUUUUGGUACAGAUCCAUGGGCAAGGAGAGUGAGACCUGUCUCUGUAAUAUGACAUAUUUUUCUUUCAGCAUAUCCAUUUUGCUCAUGAGUGUGUGGACAAGCAAUUCGAUGAGUGAUCCCACAUUUUUCAAAGUGAGAAGAGAGCUUACGAUACUCUCCCCCCCAAUCUGAUUGGAAAUUGCGGAUCUUGGUAUUAAACAAGCGUUCUGCUUUGACUUGAAAUUUAAGAAAUAUGUCACACACAUCAGAUUUACGGACUAAAGGGAAAAACCAUACAUAUUUGGAAAAAUCAUCAACAAACAAAACGAAGUAACGAUGUCCUUCAAUGGAUGGAAUUGGGGAAGGCCCCCAUACAUCACUGAAAAUAAGUUCUAAUGGAUGAGAGCUAACAGAAGGAGUGGGAGGUAAAGAAAAUUUAGACAUCUUUCCCAAACAACAAGCAGUACAAGGAGGUAAGUCCUUUGAAAGAGAAGGAAGAUUAUUGCCAUUUAUUACUUGACGAAGAACACGUGGAUGUGGAUGACCCAAGCGUGCAUGCCAACAAGAGAAAUUGGCACGUUCGCUUAAGAAAGCCAUGGGACCGUCAUUUUUAUUGGAGAUGGCAAUGUUACUAAGCUUAUAGAGGCCACCUUCAUUCAGCCCGUGAAGUAGAGGUUUCCCCGUGUGCUGGUCCUUCACAACAAAGAAAGUGGGGUGAAACUCAAAAUAACAAUUAUUAUCUUUGGAGAAUUGAUGAACAGAAAGAAGUUUCUUUGUGAUAUCAGGAACAUGUAAGAUAUGAGAUAGAUUAAAGAACGAGUGGCAUUAGAAAAGGUAGAUGUCCCAACAUGAGAAAUAUUUAGCCCGUUACCAUUACCAACUUUCAAUUGAUCAGGACCAUUGUAGUUAUUAGCGAUGGAGAGAUUGGCAAGAUCCGGAGUGACGUGAUGAGUUGUGCCAGUGUCAGGAAACCAUGCGUUAAAAUCACUAUUUGAAUAUGCUGGAAAGGAUGCAAUGUGAGCAGAAGCAUCAUUAGGCCUAUCAUAGCGAUAUCGACAUGUAGCAGCCAAAUGAUUUGUUCGAUUACAAAUCUGACAUCUUGCUGUAUUUGAAGGAUUUGGUGGGGUUGGGAGUAAUCCACGGUGCUGAGAAUUGGAUCUGGUAUGAAAAGACCUGUGGUUGUUUUGAUGUGAUCUGUUGUUGAAAUUUGAUUGACUUCGAUGAUUGUGGAAAUUUGGAGAUGCUGGAGCCCGAGUGUUAUUGGAAUUUUGGCCUUUGUACACCAUAUUAGCAGAAGGAAGAAUGGUGGAGUAAGUUGCCUGCUCUUGAAGACGAAUUUCAUGACUCACAAGUAGGCUAUGGAGUUCUGAAUAAGAGAUGGGACUGAGUCUGGUAGACAAGGCAGUGACCAUAUCACUGUAAUCGCUGCCUAGAUUGCGGAAGAUAAUAGCAUUGAACUCAUUGGUAUCAAGGGGUUUUCCUGCGGCUGCAAGUUGAUCGGCUAUGAGUUUGGCCUUUUGAAGAUAAGUCGCUACCGGUAGAUCGCCUUUUGAGAAAUUUUGAAGUUGAGUAUGUAACUGAAGGAGUCGGGUAUUCGUAGGAGAUCCAAAAGCUUGUGUGAGAGCUUGCCAGGCUUGAAAGGAGGUGGAGGUGCCUACUAUGUGAGGCAUAACAUCUUCAGUUAAGGAUGCAAUAAUCCAACUACAAAGCAUUUGGUCACGUUUGCGCCAAGAAAUAAACUCUAGGUUGGACUGAGAGGUAUUGCCCGCACCUACUGUAGAUGAUGGUGCAGUGUCAGUUCCAUCAAUGAGACCUUCAAGGUCAUGAGAAAUUAGAAUUGGCUCAAAUUGUGUCUUCCACAAAAGAAAAUUGGUGGGGGUGAGCUUAAGGGAAAGAAAGUGUGAAGGAUUAGGCAUUGGCAUUGUUUGAUUGAGAGUGAGUGUGGAAGUGGGAUUGAUGGUUGUAUCUUGAUUAGGUUGAGAUGCAGCAUCUGAUGUAGCCAUAGGAAUAGAAAAGAAAAGAAAAUAAUAACGAUAGAGAUCAGAAGAUAAGAAAAGGAAUAGGAUCAGUAAAGCUCUGAUACCAUAUAAAGUUUAGAUUUCCUCACACCAAAUAGUGUUGAGAUUUUCUAUAUUUAUACACAGUAUGAAUCAGUUACAGAAAUUCAAAAGAGCUGAUAUCAAGGAGGCGUUACACUUGCUAUGAUCAAGGAAAGAUUACAAAAUAAUUACAAGAUUCUUAGGAAGGAGAGACUACAGCUGGUGCUAAUAUCAUGGGUGAUCUGCAGCUGUUACAGCUGCAUUUGUAACGGUUGAAGGUGCAACUAAUAAUGCCAUCUAACACACAUUCAAAUUAUGAAUUUCUCUAUGAACAUCUCUGGAAGAAUACCCAAAUGCCUCAACAAUUUGACUACUCUGGCUCAAAAAGGAAAUCCAAGUCUAUUCAGCACACAUACUUUUUUUAGAAAUGUGGAUCAUAACUCAAUUGUUAGUACUAAUUACGAGGAUGAUGCAAGCUUCAUAUGGAAAGGAAGAAUGCAGACAUACAAAAGCACUUUGGGCCUUGUGAAGAGAAUUGAUCUCUCAAGCAAUAGAUUAACAGGGAGAUUCCAAGUGAAAUCACUUAUCUUGUUGAGUUGGUUUCUUUAAACCUUUCAAGAAACCGGGAACACAUCUCAUGCAAUUCUACCAGGAAAGUUGAACAACCUAACAAAGUACUUACAAGACAAAAUUAGAUACUGAUUUUUCCGCGGAUCAAUUAAGCCAGUUGAAUUCUACAGGACAGGGAAUCGAAGAUAAAUUAGCUGCAGGGUUUGUUAGUCCCUAUAACCUUGUGAACCAGCUGACAUUUACCAACCAAAACCAAAGUGCAGCGCGACUACAACAAACUAGCCCACGGCCUAUGCAGCCGCCUUUGGAAUCAUUACCACUCCCAACAAACUGAUAUGCCUCAUUCAGAUUUCAAUAGCACAAAUGGUUCGCUUCCAUUCCUAGAUAAUGAUGAAUGCAUAUUUUAUCAGUCUUGUCAACCCUUUGCUGGGACACUAAGGCCUUGUUUGGUAGGCUGGACUAGACUGGUUAGGAUUGGGCUUGGAGUGUUGGACUAGUUCGGCUUGGAUUGGAAUAGACUUUAAUAAGUUGUUUGGUACAUUAAGUUGGGCUUGACUGCACUGGACUAAAGCUCAGUCCGUUGUUUGGUACAAGUAUGGGCUGGACUGCAUUGGACUUCAAACAAAAUUUAUUUUUAAAAUUUAUUAAAAUUAUUUAAUAUCAGAAAUAAUUAUAUUUAAAAUAAAAAAACAUGCAAGCAAAAUUAAAAAUAAGAAAUCACACGAAGAUACCAUAAAAAUAGUCCAAAAAUUCACAAAAUUAGUAAUAACACGAAAAUUCUUUUAAGUACAUUCAAAUGAUCAACAAAUACUUAUGUUAUGUUGCUCUAUUUGCCAUCCACUCAUUACACAUCUCAGUAGCCAAAUUACCCCUUCAUACAGACCAUUGGUCGGAUGCUGCAAUGGUAUCAAUAGUGCCAUGAUCUACAUUAUUCUCAAUGGGGGGAUCAUAAUAAAAUUCUUGCUCCAUUGGAUCUAUAUGACAGUUACUAACAUCAUGGAUGCACACAAACGUUGUUUUUCUGACUCUACUGCAACUAGAGUUGUCACAAUCUUCCUCUUUCUCAUUCGAUACAUGUCUACCCUGCCAUUAACAAUAUUGGCAAGAACAAAAUCAUAAUCUGUGAUGUAAUAAUUCUUGAAACUCAUAAAUCCAAAGCUGAGCAGAAUGCCAAAAUAUAUGAGAUAAUAAACAAAUAUAUUUAUAUGUGUAUGUAUGUCAUCGGAGACCAAUAAUAUUAUUGCGGAGGAUGAUGAACAUAGUUUUAUAUAUUUUAAGUAAAAUCAAAGGAGAAAUUACAUGAUGACGUACCAAUUUCAGAUCCAGCUGCCAACCAAACCAACAUAGAAACGUAUAAAAGUGAUAGAGAGGUCUUAUUAUUUUUGGAAAAUUUUACAAUGUUCCCACAUCUCCGUAAUCUGUAUUUGACAUUGUACAUAGAUAAUAAAAUGAACGACUCAAAUACUUCAUGUGACAAUGAGGUAUGAACUUCAUCACACUUUAUCUCUUUCUGGUUGUAAUAGUCACGAUGCAUUGCACUCCUUGGCUGGUUUAGUCAAUGCUGUUAUACUUCAGAAUUCAGACAGAUUAGAAUCAGAUGUUUGCUUUCUCUCUGCUUGUUAUCAAAUACUUUGUGUGUCUAGUUAUCGUGGUUCUAUGAAAAAACAAUAUAAGAAAAAUGAAUCUUUUCUCUUGUGCUGUUUUUGCUCUCUUCGAUGUUUACUUUCUCUUUGUGCUUGUGCUGAAGAAAUAUGGAGGCUGAAGACGAAAAUAACAGCAAUUUGAUUCCUAACUUGCAUGCUUGUAUAAACCGUUAACUUCAACUUCUGACUCGCAUCCAAAUAAGAAAGCGAAAAUAGAUCCAUUGGAACAUGCAGCUGGUGAGGUGUCAAAGUUACUGCAGAAGUUUUUGGCAAGUCAAAUGCAACUGCAACUGAAAGGAGAGGAGGUCCUUGGAGUGGUUUCAAAGAUACCCAACCUCAGUAGGUUGCAAAUUUUUAAGGUUGGGCGCAUAAUAUUGAGUGGUAACCCAGAAGAAUUCUCUCUACUGAAAUCUCUUCCUGAUGUUGAGAAGAAAUAGUGGAUACUCUUACUUAUUAGUCAAUCUGAAGGUAACUUUCUUGAUAAAAAUUGAGCCAAUAGCUCGGGGGAUAUAAAAUAGGUCUUUGACAUAAAGCCACUUAUCAACAUUUACUUUCUCGCCAUGGUAUCUCUCUCUCUCUCUCUCUCUCUCUCUCUCUCUCUCUCUCUCUCUAACUUAAUUUCUAGUUCUGCAUUUGUCGUUGUUUUAAUUUUAUGCUUUUAACAUGUCAAACCAAUACUUCACUCUGUAUGAUUCCUACUUAAUAUCUAGAUAGAAAAGAGUAUAUAUAUUAUUGCUUUAUCAAUCAUUGAUAUAUAGAGUAGUAUGACUAACAUAUCUUUUUAUUCCUUUUCAUGUAUCAUUCUCUUUAUAUACUUGUUCUUGUCCUUGUUCUUAUUCACACUCACACUUCCAAGCACUACUGCAUAACGUCUUAUGUCGAUUACAAUUAGCUUCAAGAACAUAACUUAUAAUCCAUUCAAGUUUUCUUGUUUUAUGUUUUGAAAGGAGGUUUUAGGUUCAUCUAUGUGGUUAAACUGAGAGGUUUGAACUGAAAUAUCUGAAUUUUAAAUCCUUCUACUCCCAACAUAUUAAAGAGAAAAAAGUACGAACCAGUGAAGAAAGCAAUGAUUGACCUGCAGGCCUUCAUGGAAUUGCAUAUGUUGAAGCCUUUAUAGCCUCCUUAUGGAGAGAAUCUUACUUACAACCAGAGAUAAAAUCCCUUGCGUCUACAACACUAAUCACGUGGAGAUAAAAUCCAUUGUGUCUACAACACUAAUCACGUAAGCAGGUAAACCAAUAUUGUAUUAGCACUCUGAAAUAGUCACCAUUAUCUCAUCUCUCCUUUACACAUACGCAUUCAUUACAUAUUAAACAAUAGAGAAGUGCUAAUACUACUCCUUAAGCUCUUCCAUUUAAGGGAACUUUACCUUUUGAGUCAAAAGACAUUCAUAAGAUUGGAACUAUAAUUUUACAUUUGUUAUGCAAGACCAUGGCUCCUUAUCUUUCCUUGAAAUGUUGGAAAUAGAAAAGUUAAGAGUAGCAAAAACCAGAGCUGAUAUUGGAUUUGAUAUAAGACGGCGAGAUAGCAGUCAAUGAGAAAAAUAAAUUGAAGGAGAACCAAAGAGUGAGGAAAUUGAAGAACUGAAAACAUUUAGACUUUCAGAUCCAAAAGAUUUUGGAAUUUCAUUAUUUUCGUUUUUUUAUAUAAUUAUUUUCUAGUUUACAUUGUUGAAUAUAUAUAAAAAUCGGUUAAAAAUAAGAAGAAUGCUAGCUAUCUUCCCAUGUGUACCUUAUUUUUCUACUUUCUUCAUUCUCAUCUUACUAUAUGGUUUAAUGAACAAAAUUUUGUAAGUUCUUGGUCACCCUUUAAAGAUCAUCACAACAAAAGAGUUAUUGUAGGCCUAAGGUAACAUACCUAGAAUAUACCCUUGGGCCCUAGUCAUUAACAAUCAAGUUAAGUGCUCUGUUCAACAAUGACCAAAAGAGUAUCUGCUAAAAUUGGCGGACAUUUCUUUCCCAACCAAUUGGGACACUAAUAAGCCACUAUCAAGCUGACCAACAAGUUUAAAACCAGGUCCAUCUGGGUUUGGCCUAUCAAGAUUUUUUGUUUGUUUUUGGUUAUUGGGAGGAGGGAAUCACACUUAAGACCUUAAGUGCAGGGAUAUAUGCUCUUAAAAUAGUCAUCAUUCUCUCAUCCUCCUUCACACGUAUGCAAUCAUUGCAUAUUAAAUGGGGUGAAGUGAGGGUGAUGAGUAGAGCUGGGUUUAGGGUUGGUGACAAACAAAAUGAAAUCAGUCAAUGAUGGAGAUAGGUGUCCACAUAAAAAUAUUUUGAUGAACUAGAGAAAUGGCAUUUUUGGGAAGAGUUGGGUGUCCAGAGAAGAGAAUGUUUAGAAUAAAAAUAGAAACCCAUUGAAACACGAGUGUAAACAGAAUUCUUGGUAAUAUGAAAUUUCUCUUUCAUAUUUAAGCAGUUACAUCACAUGAAAAGUUUAAACAUAAAUGAUAUUGUAAGUGCUCUUAAUCACUUGAACCAUGUCCCUCGUCACGAGAAGAGUGUUUAUACAACAAUUGUAUGUAAAAUUUAGGGUAAAUUACUCAAAUAGUUUUCAAACUUAUACCCGAUUUACAUUUUGAUCCCUCAAUUAAAUUAUUUGUUCAAAUGGUCCUUCAACUUUAUAUUAUUUGCUCCAUUGGUCAUACUGUUACAUUCUGUCAAUAUUUCCAUUAAAUAUGAUAACAAAUUGGUUAUUUCGUCCGUCAACUCUCUCUCUCUUCUUCCUCUUCUUCUUCUUCUUCCUCACGGCCUGGUGGUCGGCGUUUCCUUUGCUUGAAUGCCUUGUUCUGUGCUAUAGCACAAGAAUAAGCUGCUCCCGAAGAAGCUGUGGGAAUAAGCGCUCCUUAAAUAGGGAGGAAGCAGACUAACUAAACCCAACGCAACCCAUUCAAAAAAGACUUUCAGCCCUUGGCACAGAAGCUGUGAGAUGCAGAAUAGGAAUCUCUUCUUCUUCUUCCUCCUCCUCCUCCCAAUCUUCCUUCUUUUUUUUUUCUUCUCAUUUUCUUUAAUUUUUUUUUCUAAUUUUCUAUUUAUUUUAACCCAAUUUUUAUUUGUUAAUUAUGAAAAGUCAUAUUUACCUCCAAAUUUGGUUAAAUCUAACAGAGAAUUAGACCGUAGGAUCAAUAGAGCGAAUAAUAUAGAGUUAAUGAACCAUUUCAAUGAAUAAUUUAAUUGAGAGACCAAAAUAUAAAUCGGGUAUAAGUUUAAGUACCAUUUGAGUAAUUUACAGAAAAAUUUAACUUUUUGUUGGACCUAAAUAUUGAAACCCCACAAACUGAAACCACCAAAUAAAGAAUGCCCAAUUGAUACUCCAAUUUUCAUUCAAGUCAACCUUUUUCAGUAACGAAGUUAGUUAGCUUCGCUGGGGCGCCGUUCAAGUUUGAAUGUGCGAACUCAAAGCACCAGCAAGCUUCAGAAUAUAUUAUAACAUAUACAAGCAUUUUAUUCAAUCUAUUAAAAAUAAUAAAAAUCACUUAAUCACUCUCUCCAUGUACUUGAUCACCACUUAGAAUAAGGAUUUGAGCUAAAUCCAUUUUUUUUUUUUUGGCUUCGGUAACGACGAAAAGCUCUACAAACUAUAACCUACUUGUUGUGUAUGCAAAUUUCAGAUAAAUUUAAAAUACGUGCAAUCAGGAGUAGAGUCGAAAUCAAGUCCGAAGAGGCCUUGGCCUCCCACUCCUUUUAUAACUCUUUUUAACAUUUGAAACAAAGUAUAAUAUUAAAUAAAAAAAAUUCACAACUAAGCUAGUGUUGCCCCCCUCUGCAUUAAGUUUUAAGUUGUUACAUAAGGCGGCAUAAAUACAUAAAUCAAGACAUUAAAUUAUAGGUAAAUUAUAGGUAAGAUGGAAAAUAAAUAAAAGUAGGUGAGAGGGCCGUCCUAAUAUAUAUUAUUAGCUAAGAAAAUUGAAUAAACGGGACAGUCCAGGUCAUUGUCAAUAUAAAACAAACAAAGCCAAGCCAACAAUGGAGGGCUGGGCUGUCAUAUUUUGACUGAGAAAACUCUAUACGCAUAUAGAUAUAUGGUUGCCUUUUCAUUAUCAUUAUAUUUGACUGCUCGUGCAGAUUUGGGGAGAGGACUUGCUGAGUGAGACACACAUGCUGUAUUAAAUGAAGCCAAGUUUGUUUGGCUACGGCCCUCUCAAAUAUUGUUUGGCUCCCACCAACUUCCCUACGUUUUUUCUUUUAUAUGCGAUAUUUUAAAUUACUCUUAAGUUAUAUGGAGAAAAAUUCAAAUUCGGAUACUGAAGGAUAGACAUACUACUGGAGUCAACUUGACUAACCUACAUACAUUAUCUACGUAUUUUUCACAUUGACAAUUAUGAAAUAUACAAUAUUUCAUAUUAUUAAUGUAACAGGAAAUACAUAUUCAAAUAAAAAUAUACUCAAUGUAAUAUAAACUGUAUCUCCUUGAACAGGAAAUUAUACAUUAAUUAAUCUGUUAGCCUCGUCAUAUAAAGUGGCUUGGUUGACUCUUUUUCUUUUUUAGGUUAUUAGCUUGGUUGACUUUGAACUGGAAUAACUAUCUACCACGCAUGUUUAUGCAUUGAGAAAAAUCACAGAAUAACUUGAUUUCACUCUUUCUUUGAAUUGGGAAAACAAGAUUUCUUGCUUCAUUUUUGCUUCUCUUUUUCAAAUGUGUCUACACUUGGGUGUAGUACUUGUUUACCAAAUAAAAUCUUGGCAGUACUUGGAAAAAAUAUUUGGCAGUAACAUACUCUUCAAACUCGAUCACUUGAUUACUUUUCUAUUAAUUAUUUGCAUUUACAGCUCUUUCUUUUCUUCCAAUAAUGGCGCACAAUGUUAGAUCUUUUAUAGUGAAAAUUAGGUUGAAGAGUGAGAAAGUGAUUUCUAAAUUUUCAGAGCGAGAGAAGUGAUCACAGUUUUGAUAUAUUGGAGUCUAUUUUUACUGGAGCUGAUUUUGUUGAUGUGCCUUACCUUAUCAACACUCAGGGUAGAUUCCUGAUAAAUAAUAUUGUUACUCUUGCACUUUUAGAAAUUUCGUGUAUAGUUUCGAGAAAUAGUACUAGAGAAACUAACUUUUCAGAUACAUCAACUGAUGUGGCAGUGUUUCAUUUGUUUCAUGUUUAAGUUCACUUUGGAACUUAUUUAUUCACAGCAAAUAAGAUAUUAUCAUAUAUUAAUUGAUACUUAAAAGGUGGCCUCUCUAGUACUACUCUGGAAAACAACACAUAAAAUAAGAUUAAGAAAUUGGUGUCUUCACAAAAGAAAACUAAUAUUGCACAAAAUGGGUCAAUUUCCAAAUCACCUUCACCAACCUACCAACCUUGAAUUAUUCCUUAUUGACACACUCACUGAAAACAAAAUAUGUAGAAUGUGCUAGUAACAAAUAUUGUUUUUCAUACAUUAGUCCACAUCUGAUUGCAGAAUUCUCAGCAAUAAAACCAUCUGCCCCAAUUAAAAGCAUCAAUUUUGUUUGGUAUAUGCCCGAAAGCCAUGAGCAAAGAAUAAUGUCAAAGAUUCUACUAUUUGUGCAAGGAAAACAGCCAAGACAAAGCCCAUGUAAUUUUUAAAUAUAAUCGCCACAAACUCUCCUCAACCAUGGAAAGUUGAGUCGAAGUGGAUGCAUGAGACAUGCUUUUUCUUGUUAAAAAUCCUAUACAUAUGUACACCGUACUUUUGGACUCAUUAUACAGUAGACUACUGUAUACUGUAUUUCUAUACUUUGCUAAGAGUUUGAUUCUUUUCCUCCCCUUCUCUUCAAUGGAAAAUCAUCUCUAGUUCUUUUUCAUCCCUAACAACAUACAGGGUUGGACUGCUGAGUUCAUAACUUUUCUAUUGUUUAUCAAACUUUUCUGAGUUCAUAAUUAUUGAAUUACAAAACGUAAAUGGCAAGAAUCAAACUAUAUGGACUAAAAUGAAACUCUGAAUUCUGCACCCGAUAUCUUAAGUUUGAUUCUCCCCAUCUCUAAUAUUACUUGUACAGAAAAAACAAAUAAAUUUAUUUAAAUAAUUUAUCAUGUAACAAAAGAGAUGAAGUCGGAGAAAACAAAAUCAAAAAAGUUCCAAAGUCCCCCCAAUCUUUCUUCGAGUGUGUAUUUGAUUUGAUGGAGUACCUGUUGAGUGUGUAUUUGAUUUGAUGCUUUGGUAGCUUGCGUCUCAUGUUGCUUAUAUUACUGGAAAUAUAACAAGCUAACAAAAAAUGUUAAAAACGAGAAAGGCAAGUCCCAUUUAGAAACAACAAAACGAAAAAAGAAAAAAAAAACUUAAUUAAGCAUGCAUUAGGCGUGGGGUAUGUUUGUCCCCGUAUUUAGCCUACGUUAUUGUUGAGAGUAUUAUUCCACAUCACAAAUAAAAGUACCGUCUUAUAAAAUGAAUAAGAAAAACAUGAGUGGUAAAAAUGAAGAAGGCUACACAUUUAUCAUUUAUCUUCUCACUACUAUCUUAUUUUUCUUAUGCACUUUUAAUUAUAAAAAAGAACAUUAAAACAUUUAUAAAUGACUUUGAAUCAUUACAAGGCUGAUUGCAGCAACAAUUGCUAAGAACAAUCCAUCACUCUCCAAACUAAUACAGAUUAUCAACUUGUACAAAUAGCGCUCAAUCGCUGAAAAUUAACAAAUUAGCAUUACGUUAACUACUUUAUUUGGUUAAUUACACAUUGUAAUUCAAUAAGCCGAAUCGAGAUUAGCCACUUUAGGAUUUACUUUUUAAAUAGCCAUGUUUGGUUAAGAGGCGACAGAAGAUAGCUACCACUUUUUCUCUCUCGUUGGUUUGCUUGGUUUUCAUUUAGAAUUUUGAUAUUUGUUGCUACUUCAAAAUAAUAAAAAAUAAAAAAUAUUGUAACGGAAAAAAGAAUAAUAAUAAAAUAUUUAUUGUAAGUCAAAACAUAAAAACAAUUUGAGUCUCGGCAAUUGUAACACCUGAUGGCUAACAAAUUUAGUUUCGUGAGCGAGAAUUAAUCGAGGUGUGCGCAAACUGACCCGGACACCUUAUGGUAUUUAUCCAAAAGAAAAAAACAUAAAAACAAUGUUAGAACAAUAGCAUGAUGAAAAAGUUGUUACCCAGAACAACAUCAUUUUGUUGGAUUGAAAUUCAGUUAAAAUUUGGUGAGCCAUUAAUUAUCAUUAAAAAAAAAAAAUUUAAUAAAUCGAAGUAAAAAUUGAAGUCCAAGUCCAACAACUAUGGCGUCUUCCUAUGACAGCCUGAAUUUUUAGACAGCGCCGAGGUGGGCCCCGUCACGGGACGCCUUCAAAAUUUUCAACUUUGAACAAUAAAUCCCACCAUUUGGCCUCUUCCUCCACUCUCUCUACUAUAUAAAACUCCUAAUACCAACUCUCGUUUUGCUCUCACCCUCAGAUUCAUAUUGUUCGUUAGAUCUCUCUCUAUUUUUUCCCGGAAAAUUUUAGCGCUUUCCUGGAAAAUCUUCGUUUUCCUGGCGGCUUUUUGAGAAACCAAGUGGGCGUCGUGGAAAUGGCCGAAGAGUCGCAGAAAUGGGUGCUGAUGGUGACGGCGCAGACGCCCACCAACAUCGCCGUGAUCAAGUACUGGGGGAAGAGGGACGAGACGCUCAUAUUGCCGGUCAAUGACAGCAUCAGCGUGACGCUUGAUCCGGAGCACCUCUGCACCACCACUACUGUCUCCGUCAGUCCCUCCUUUGACCAGGAUCGGAUGUGGCUCAAUGGAAAGGUAAAAGCUUUUUGUUUGUUUACGUCUUCUCAGUAGUCUCUUUGUGUUUGCUUCCCGGGAAAAUGCAUGGGAAACAAAGGAUUUGAAGGUCUUUAUUUGCUGUUAGCUUUGACAUAAACUUGGUGGGUCCCCAUUGGAAGGCAAAAAAACUUUUGGGUUCUAAGUUUUUGCCCAUUUGGUUGGCAAGAAAAAGUAGAAAUGGAAAGGAAAUUGAAAAUUUAUAGUAGCUGUAUCACUAGUAUUGAGCUUUUGAAAUUGGCUCUGUUGCUUUUGCCACAGAAUUCUCAGAGGUUUAAUAUUUGCUUCUCCAAACACCAUGAUCGUUUCGGGAUUUCACUGAUCCGUGGCUCUUUUUUUAUUUUUCCGGUUAGUGUAGGAGAUUUCUCUUUCUGGAGGCAGAUUCCAGAGCUGUUUAAGGGAAAUUCGUAGUCGAGCUACCGAUGUUCAUGAUAAGGAAAAGGGAAUCAAGAUUACUAAGAAGGAUUGGGAGAAAUUGAAUGUACAUAUUGCUUCAUACAACAAUUUUCCUACUGCUGCUGGAUUGGCUUCCUCGGCAGCUGGUUUUGCUUGUCUUGGUAACGGAUAAUACUGAUCAUAUUAUUGUUAAUUUGUUACAUGAUUAGUGCCUUAAGUUUGAGAACACAUGACUGUGUUAAUAAUGUUACUUGGGUACUGGAUUAAUCAUUCUUUGUCAAUAAAUAGUAAUUAAGCAAUGAGCAUAUCAUAGCUAAGCCUCCGUUUCUACUUGCAGUUUUUGCCCUCGCAAAGUUAAUGAAUGCGAAUGAAGAUCACAGCCAGCUUUCUGCUAUUGCAAGGUAGUUUAAUAGUUCUUCAAUUAUCUCAUUUUCAGGUUGCCUGUAUCUUGCUUCAAUUAUAAUGAUUCCAAUUGUGAAUGCCUUGUGCUUCAUUUUCAUUGCUUGAAUGUGGCUGCUGUUCAUGGAAUUUUUAAGUCAUGAUAAGUAUCAGAGUUAUUAUGUUUGCUACUAUAUGGACCUCAUGGUAAUGGAUUUCACUAUGUGUGUUUUUAAGUUCAUCUUAGUAGUUGUGUUAUAAAUCCCUUUUCUUCUGUAUUCACAUUAUAGAGAUUCAAGUAUUGUAGUUGGUGAUGAUAAUUCUCUAAAUUUGUUUGUUCAUACAGGCGAGGUUCGGGCAGUGCUUGUCGCAGUUUGUAUGGGGGAUUUGUCAAGUGGAUCAUGGGAAAAGUAAGUUUAGUUCUUUUAUGGUUAUUGUUAUGUCCUCUGUUAAAAACCAAGUUAUUCUAUUCAGUCUUUAGUGCUGAUUCUUGGUAUCAUUAUCUAUUAAGGAUGAGAAGGGAACCGACAGUCUUGCAGUUCAACUUGCGGACGAGAAGCACUGGGAUGAGCUUGUCAUUGUUAUUGCUGUGGUAUGUAAUAUAUGUUCUAUGCAUUCUGUCAAAUGAUUUUAUUGGCAAAUUUUGGCCUGUGGAUAUGACUUUCUUUUCUUGUCAUCUUGUGCUCGGUUGUUUUUGAAAGAUUUUCCCUAGGGUCUUUUGAAUUUUCGACUUUCCAUCUCUGAGUUGGCCAUGCAUUUCAUUCUCUUCUUUUUAAAAUAUAAUUUUUUGGGUAGUUUGAUGGUUUGACGUUAUUUCUAUUCGUGAUAUGCAUCUUUCUGGUUUUGUAGUAUCAACCAUAUUAUCUUAAAUGUGUUUUCUGGUCAGUAUCAAUGGCACGAUGAUACUUUUCAGUUUUGCAAAAUACUACCUUUGAAUAUUAUAUUAUAUUUAUUUAAAAAAAAUUAUCCCCGUUCAGUUGCACAAAGAGUUAGGAAGAUAUUAAGUAGUCAAGAUUAAAAAAAAAAAUAGUAAGAAUUAAAAGUUUGAUUUAAUGUAUUUAAUUUGAGAGUUGCUACUAUUAAAAAGAAUAAUUUUUAUAAAGUCGAGUUUAUUUUUUGCAAGUCAUGUUAGUGCAUGUUUUGUUGUCAUGAGGUGGAUUUGGUGGAAUGGAAACAUAAUUUGGCAGUUGUACCCAGCCCAAAAAUUUAUAUGAUGGGUGUUUAUAAUGACUGCACAUGCUUAUUUUGGAACGUUGAGGUGCCGCAAUUUGUAUAGAAUCCUGACAGAAGCCAAAGAUGUAUUCUGAAUGUCUGAUUAGGUUUAUCACCCUAUACCCUAAGUUAUUCAAAUCUUGAUUUUGUUUAUUCCAGGUAAGUUCACAGCAGAAGGAAACGAGUAGCACUACAGGAAUGCGUGAUACUGUUGAAACAAGUUUGCUCUUACAACAUAGAGCGAAGGUACAUUCUCCAUUGUCCUUUCACUGCCUAGUUUAAAUGCUAGGAAUUUUACGAACUGAACUUUAAUCCAUAAAUUCUAUAAUUUUGAAUUAUUUGUACCUUCAAGCUCCCUCAUUUUAGUGCACCGUUAAUAGAAAAACACGGUGUCUUAUUCUUUUAGGUCAUCUGCUGUCACUUAUUUUGGUGGGGUCAUUUAACCCUGAUCUAACUUGUAUAUUUCUGUUUGUCUUUUUAUACUGUUACAGGAAGUGGUACCCAAACGCAUAUUAAAAAUGGAAGAAGCUAUAAAAAAUCGUGAUUUUGCUUCUUUUGCACAACUGGCCUGUACUGACAGUAACCAGUUUCAUGCUGUUUGCCUCGACACAUGUCCCCCCAUAUUCUACAUGAAUGAUACAUCCCACAGGCAAGCCUCUUUUUUGCAUUUGUGUUACUUGAAAAGCUCAGCGGUUACAGUAAUUCAUUUAUGUUUUCAUUGAGGUGCGGAACUAGAAACUUGGAAUUCAAUAUUGAUGAAGUAACUAUGUUUCAGGAUAAUCAGCCUUGUUGAAAAGUGGAACCGUGCAGCAGGAACGCCUCAGGUUAGGAAACUAAAUUAUUUUUAACGAGUAUAAAAUACUGAUUGCUGCUCUUUGUAGCAUGAUAAUGUUAAAAAACGGUGAUCUUAAAUUUCUAAGAUUGCUAGUGCUCUGUGAGCAGUCAUAUCUUGAAUUUGGUAUGUCUGAUUGUAUUUUCAGUAGAAGUCCUUCAGCAUAAAAAGAUUAACCUAGUUAAAGCUUCAAUUUUGCAUGUUUUCUUCAUAUAAUGUCUCAACUGAAGCAAAUUGCACAUCCUCAACAGAAGCAAGCUGUAAAGAAUUUCCGAAGAUGUAACUAAUAAAUUUACAAAUUAUUAGUGGAAAAGAAAACUUUUGGCAUUAGCGUUUCAAGUAAUUUGGUUCAGACUUUGUUCUCAUAAUAAACGUUAUUGCUCAAACCAUGCUUGGAAGUUUCCCUGGGGAUAUACCUUUCCUGAAUGGCAAUAUUAUAACAUGUUAGUAAAAGUACUAAAUUUCGGUUGUGACUCUUAAAGGCUUCAGAAAUACUAAUCUGAACCUGCUUAUCUCAUGUGGCACUAAUCUUACUUUAUGUUUAGCUUAUGGCAUCCGUCUGCUACUAAAUAUUAUUUGGGAAAAUAUUUUAUACUCUAUAAGCUUAUUUGAGUUGCAUACUGUUCAUACUAUUUUUUUGAGUAGUUGAAAAUAUUUUAAUAACUGACAGGUGGCGUAUACAUUUGAUGCGGGGCCGAAUGCGGUUCUAAUCGCACGUAACCGAGAAACAGCUGCCCUUUUGGUUCAGAAGCUGCUAUUCUGCUUUCCUCCAAAAUCUGAUGCAGAUUUGAACAGGUAAUAUUUGUGGGCUUUCAUAUGACAUUUCCUCAAGCUUAAGAGAUUCUUAUUUCUGUGUGGUUUCCGCAUCAAUGAUUUUUCUGAUGGCACCAACCUCGCUCCCCCUUGUGUGUGUGGCUUUCUCUUUUAAAUUUUUUCUUAAUUCUUUUCACAGUUUCGUUCUUGGUGAUAAGUCCAUUCUGAAAGAUGCUGGGGUUGAGAGCCUGGAGGCCAUCGAAAGUUUGCCUGCACCUCCAGAAAUCAAGGAUCCAUCCCAGAGGCACAGAGGAGAUGUUAGUUACUUUAUUUGCACAAGACCUGGGAGAGGUCCAGUUGUGCUGUCAGAUGAAAGUCAAUUUCUUCUCAACCCUGAAACUGGGUUGCCAAAGUAAGCUGAGAAGAUUUCUCUUUCUUUCACGGUGUUCUGUUGUUUCUCAGGACGACUCAAAUGGUUGUAUGAGCCUGAAUAGUUCUUUCAGAUGAUCCUUUUAAGCUGGACCCAAGAAUUGCCAUAAAAUGAUUAUCCGAGUUCAUCUCAGUUAAGACAGUUUCUGUUGCUUGUUUCAUGUAUCUUUAACUUACUUUUUGCUCUUUUAAUCCAAUUAUGGUCUUUGUGCUCAUUGUCUUUGACACAUUAACGAAUAAAUUGUCUAUUGUUCAUCUGAAAGUGUGACAUUGUGAUAACUAUUAGCAAUUCAUUCCCGUUCUCUACAUGCCCGUCCUAAAUGUCAAUCAGAAAUUUUGAACUCGAGUUAAAGUAGCUUGAAUUCCACCAACAUCAUGGCAUUGUAUGACCUUUAUACUGAUGCAUACCGGAAGCAAAUGAUCGACAAACGUCCAGAUCCAAGAACAAGCAAACGAUCGACAAACAUCUAGACCCAUCAGCUUUAUGAAAUUCACCAAAGAAGAGAGAAAAUCUCAAUAAUUUUAAUAAUGAUAUUAAUAAGCCGUCAAUUACAACGCUUAAAGUUGUUCAAAUAGAAAACAUAGAACUCCAAAAUCGUAGGAAGCUUCUUAAAACUUAAAUGACAAGAAAAUAAUUACAUCCUAAUCUUAAUAAAAGUAAACAAUUAAUUAUUCUAAAAUUAAUAAAUAAAAACAUUAAAUAAAAUAUUUUCCUCGCCAGAACCCUAUUCUUUCAUGAAUAAGCCAAUUGAUCAGCAGUACAAGAACACUUCCUCCUGAUGCUUUCUUUUCAUCUCCUUUUUAUUCUUUCCUACUUUUUCCUUACACAUUUGCAAAAAAGUAUCCUAGAAUUUACCCAUAUGGCUACUGCCAUGUUUUCACCUUCCAUGCCUUUUUUUUUUUUUAAGCACAAACGAUAGUUUAAACUAUACGUUAUGAGAGAUUCUCUCACACACACACUAUCAUGGUAUCGUGGGGAUUCGAACCUAAGACCACUAGUAUGCAAGUCAAGGUCCUUUUUCACUUGGCUAAACCCCGUUGGCACCUUCCAUGUCUUAUAUUUGCACCAAGUGCAUUGCAUCUGUCAUUUGUGCAGAAUUUAUCAAUCUUCACAAACUAUUUUCAAAAAGUCUCAUUCCUUUCCAAUAUUUAAUCUAUUUGAAAAUUUUAAGCCAGUUUCGUCCAAUUCCUUACAAAAUCUAUCUUGCUGAAGCAAAAUAUUAAACAAUGACAGAAAUUUGAGUCUGAUACAAAGGACAAAAAAAAGGGAAGAGAAAGAGCUGCCCUGUAUCAACAAUGGGCUACUUCUCUUCAAUCAGAAGUGCCUUUAAGAUAGCUUCACUGAUACCAUCUGCAGCUGGAAACAAGUGUCCAGCACCUGGUAACUCAUGGUAGUGAAUCCAUGGAAGCUUUUCUGCAAUAUAGCGUUGCAGUUCGACUGGGACAAGCAGAUCUUCAUCACCCUGCCAUAGAUGGACAGAGCCUUCCUUACCGGCAAAAGGGUUCUUCAGAUCUAGAGGAUCAAAUUCCCAGGUCCCAAAUCCAACCAUCAUGUCACGAAGGACUGACUCAAAUUCUCCUUGCUGCUUGGCCUGUACCUGCAAUUGAUAAAUGAAUCAUCAAAGCUGGUAGCAAGGACGAAUGCCACAUAAAAUGAGUCAAGUAUAGUUGGAUGAGAGUAUUUUCAACAAGAUUACAGCACAAACAAAACUCCCAACUGCCCUGUAAACCAGGAGGCUCCUGAAAACCUCAACUAGCACUAUAGCUCAAGGGUUUCAAAUUGUUGUACAACGGUUUGAGAAGUUAAUUUUUCACAUCAUAUGAAGCUUUAUAUUGAAUCUUCUAAGGUACGUGGUAAUGGACCGAGCUGAAGUAAUGCCUCAUGUUGUGUCCCUCUUAUUGAGUUCAAUAAAAAAGUCCUAAUCAUUUACCGAAUAAGAAAAGUACCUUGUUAUCUCUUUCAGAAACGUUCGCAUUCCGUAUGAUCUCCAAAUCUUGGCGAGAAAAAAUAUUCAUAUUUGGGUUACUACUGGAUACAACACUGGAUGUAGGAAAUAGUUUCUGAGUGUUCCACCAGUAGAUUAGCCAUGGUAUGUGGUGAGCAACUCGAAGUGCCCAUUGAUCCCGCGGAGGUUGUUUAUAAUAGGCACUGGACAAGUUGGCAGGCAAGCCUGGCCACCAAUAGUUGACAACAGGAGCAAUCAGUGUUGCUCCUGCUAGCCUGUCAGAAUCCCAAACAUCAAACUUGAGAAAAACUUCAAUACUGAUUAACAUAUCAGGUAAUGUAGAAUUUGGUCAUCAUUGAAGUAAAGCCUUGUAUCCAGAAUUUGAUACAAGCAUAAGUACCAGAUAAAACCUACUUUCAAUGAAGUUCCAAUGCUGGUGUAAAGUAAUUAAUGUAUUAUGCAGCCUUUGCAAAUCUUUACUUCAACAUUUAGAAGGUUUCCAUAUUGUAUCCAGCCAAAAUAAAGUUAAAUACAUAUGCAGCAUGAUAUUUGAAAUUAAUUCAUCCCUCUCUCUCUCUCUCUCUCUCUCUCUCUCUCUCUCUCUCUCGAUUGGUAUUCUAACAUUCACAAAGGACAUGUAGAGAACUGCCUAUGCUAUCCAUGAGGCCUGUAGGAAAGUCUUACCUGUGAGGGAUGUACCGAAGACACUUCCAGAUGACCUGUCCACCCAUAGAAUAUCCAAUUACAUAAAAUUUGGAUCCCAGUCCCAGCUGGUCACCAAGCUCUUCUAUAUCUAAAGCCAAACUCUUCCGCGUUCGCUUAGGAUCUGGAUCACUUUCACCAUAUCCCGGUCUGUCAAAAGAAACAAUGUACACCCCUAAAUCUUCAAGCACUUCCUGAAAAAGAAUCCAUCAAGAAGUUAACCAAUCUAAUUUUUGGACACAAACUUCAAAAACCAAUGAAGACUAUAAAAUCAAUUUGAAAUUGAGAAACAAAUUGAAAACCUUAGUGACGGUUGUUGCAAUCAGUGCAUCAUGUCUGGUAGAACCAAAGGCAUGAACAUAAAUAAUCUUAUAUCUGGCCACUUCUUUUGGAACACCAUGUUCCUUGUAGGCCAAAUAUCUUCCAUCCCUCAGUUUUAUUCUAGAUGCCGUGACGAGUGGGCCGCUGGGGGAGCCACAAAGUUUUGGAGGGGGUGGUUGGAUGGCCUGAUAUGCCCAUGCCAGCAACCCAACUAACAAGAGAAAUGUGAGUCUCUUAAACAUCUCUGAUGCCUGAACCCCUGAGAAUGAAAAAUGAAACUUUGCUGAAAAACCAGUACAAGAAGCGAGGAGCAAAAUAGCACUGACCUUGAGGACACUAUAAUAAGGCUUAAUUUGGGCAUUUCCCCUUAAUUUGGAUGAUUAAAGUUUUGAUGAGAUCACAUAUUGAUUACCUCCACAAGUUCACCAAUGAAGAGGUUAUCUGAAUGAAACAACAACCAGAAGAACAGGAGAGCCAAGUUUAAAAAGCAGGGUAAACAGAACAAAAAUACACACAAAAUACAGAAAGGGUCAAUAAACAAAUAAAUCAGUUUGCACAUUAGAAACUCCCAUCAUUUAGUUAAUUUUACAAGAAAUUACAUGAACUUCAAUAAUCUAUCUGCUUUGCCCUGUUCUUCAUCCAAAAAAUAAAAAAUAAAAAUGUAGCAAUAAAUCUGUCCAUUGGGUUUCCAUUGUGUCCAAGAAAGCAGUCAAUAUGCAGAAACAAGCAUCAACCAAAUCAACCAAUCAUUUUUAAGACAGAAAAACUUGAAUAUAUGGACUGCAUCAUAUAAACUAGACUCAGAGCAUAAAACCCAGAGAGAGAGAGAGAACGUACGUUAAUUACAGUUGAGUGCAGGAAGAACAGCUGUUGUGCUGAAGCAAACCAUUAUAUAUCUUUAACUUAACAUUUGGUUUUAAUUAAUUAAUUAAUUGUAUUACAAGUAAGUAAACAAGACCGCCACCUAAACAAGACCGCCACCUAACUACCGAACCCAACCUAAAGUCGAUGGCAUAUUUUUCGCUCCAUUCAUUUUGACCUACAUUUUUCUGGUCAGCAGCAAAGCAGAGAGGAGGUUGUUUAAUCCAGAAGUUGCAGGUAAACCUUACAAGACGACAAAAUGGAUUAUUUUCCGCCAUGCUGUCGUAAGAUUGACCUAAAUUCUUUUGUUGUCGUCUGUUAUAAAUUAUUUUCUUUUUACAAGAAAAUGGAUAAUUUUGUGUUGUCGUAAGAUUACCCUAAAUUUCAAGCGUUUUGAAAAAUAUGAUAAUUUAAAAUGUUGACAAUCUCUAAGAAAAAUUUAUCUGAUAUCCCACAUAGCAUGAUGAAGUGAUGCAGUGGAUUUACCCAAAAUCAACUCCUUCACUUUUUGACCAGAAGAAAAAGUGAUUAGGUAAGUUUUUUUUUUAAUAUUUACAAUAAUUGGUUUGGGCCUAACAAAAUAUUUAUAUAAUUGUUGGGGUCUUUUUUGGUCAAAAAACUUGUCCAGGCUUGUUGAUUCUUGGAGUACUAUAGAGUGAUAGAUCAAGCUUUUGUUGUCCUCUUUUUUUGAGAUAGCGCCCAAAGCAUCCCAAGGGAGAAGUAAGUCACAGGGGAGUACUCUGUUCUUCUUCCAGCAGCUACAUGUUUUGUGUUAACGUUUCCGGUGGCUUUGGAAAGAGUUGGAGAUUGUGCAUUGAUGUUGUAUAGGCUUGGCAUGAGAGUUUGCUUUGGUGAAUCAAGAUAUUACUAUGCUUUGCAUGAGAAGCUUGUGGUGUGGGAGCUAAGAACCCAUAAGUUUAGCAAGAGAUAGAGAGUUCGAAAGGCAAAAACUUGGAAUUGUAGAUGGACUAUAUCUUCUAGUAGCUCUGGAUUGCUCCCACCAGCUUGAAUGGGUUUCUUGAAACAAAGAAAAUUAAUUAUGAUGCUUGACUCAUGAUUUACAGAAAUGCUUGGGUGAUGUUUAGGGUUUAGCAUGGUCUUCUAAGAGAAAAUAAGCAUAAAGAAAGGAUUAAGGCUUGAGAUUUGGUGUCACAUCCCUAGAUCAGCUCCGCCAUAGAAUGAUAUUAUCCUCUUUGGGCCCCCCUCUCUGCCUUCAAGAUUUUGUUUUUGAGAACUCACGAGCAACUUCCCAAUGGGCCACUCAUCUUGGGAUUGCUCUAGCUCAAACUCGCUUAAAUUCGAAGUUCCCAUGACUCCGAAGCCAGUGAGCUCCCAAAAGGCCUCGUGCUAAAUGGAGACGGGCAUGUACAUAUAAGACACAUCACCCCCUCUCUAUUGGUCGAUGUGGAAUGUUAUAUAGGUAUCCAGUGACUAUGAAAAUGUCUAUAUCUUAUGCAUGCAUAAAGAGAAAUGUAGGUGUACAAAUUGAUGAUCAUCAAUGAUACUAUUUAUAUAUAGUACGUAUUAAGGUGAUCAAGGGUUGUGAUGAUAUUAAUCCAUGUUUUAUUAUGAUUGUCGACAAUGUAAAGAAAGAUUGGCCAAACUGGAAUAGGUAGUCCAGUAAAUUGAAUAUUUUUGGAAAACGUGGAAGGAAUGGACUAGAGUUCGAACACCAAAAGAUAUGAAAUUGUAUAGGUUACAAAUCGGUAUUGGUGAUGAAGUGAAAUAAAAUCAUUUGAUAUGGCCAAAUGUAUCCAUGCAAAGACAAACUUUUUAUGAUAUUCUCGUAGUAUAUUAUAUAGAUGCAUCCAUGUUUACUACAUAUUUAUGAAGAUUUACAUUUAUAUGAAAAUCUAAAAAGAUUAUGAAGUGUUUGAAGCAUAUCGUCAGAAACGAUCUCUUUUGAAGAAUACAUAAGAAUAAGUUCUAAGAGAGAUGUAAAGUGCUAUAUAUUAUAUAAAUUGUUCAAAGAAAAAGAAGUUAAGGAGCCCGAAGCUCAAUGUAUGUAUUCAAAUAUCAUGAAAUGAAAGCGAUCUAAUUGCCUUAGUGAGUACUUUGAUUGAAUUAUGAGUUCGAGAUUAAGUUCAAUAUCGUUGCAAUGUAUUCAAAUUUUUAAAGAAAUUUUCAGAAUAUUUAGGUCUCUUGAAGAGCCUAUGACAUGCUAGCAUAGUACACACAAAUUUAUAUGAAUAGCUUAUUACAUUAUGCAAUUAUAUACUCUUGUCCUGGUAACGGUAACGUAUGAGUUUUCUUAUAUUAUUAUUUUGAUGAUAUUAUAGAAUAUGAUGUUAUUUUAAGAAUUGUUAAUAUGAAAGGAUUUUUGAAAAUAGUCUAGAUAUUUUUGGUAUUACUCUACCUCAACAGGGAUUCAAAGAAAUGAUAUACAUACAUCCGCCAAUGAUGCUAUUGAAGAAAUUUUAAUCCAAGCAUUACCAAAGCCCGCUUUGCAGGAGGAAAAUGAGAUAUCAAUAUUAUUUGUGUUGCAUCUUCAAAUAGUUUAAGUUUGUCGUCAUCACGGGGAGUAAUUCAACAUGGGGAGCAUUCAACAAUUUUCUACAUACAAGAAAUAUGUGUUCUGUACUCUUUUCCCUUCGACUGGGUUUUUGUCCCAUCGGGUUUUUCCUAGCAAGGAUUUACGAGGUCCAACACCAUAUCAAUAAUCCAGAAGAAUGGUGCACUCUUUAUCCCUUCGCUUAGGUUUUGUCCCAUUGGAUUUUUCGAGCAAGGUUUUUAAUGAGGCAAUUAUGUCAAUUGUAUGGUAGACAUCCAAGGGGGAGUGUUGCAAAUGCAUGAGUUGGUAGAUGACCACCAUACCUCUUAGCAUACACCAUUUCUAAUUCUAUGUAACCUAUACACUAAAUACCAUAAUUAUGGGCUUGUAAUUUAUGAGUUAUUAAUGUCUUCUUAUCAUUGUAAGCCUAUAAAUAAGAGGUCUUAUCAGGAUAAGACAUACAUGUUGAUUGAACAAUUUCUAUUGUCUUUCUCUACUCUUCAUUUCUCUCUACAAAUUCCCUUCGUUAUAUAACAUUAUUGAAAUUACCUGUAGGAUGACUAAGAAUGCCUAGAAGAGGGUAAAUGGGCCAAUUAAAUAUUAUAAUCAAUAAACAAAAACUAAACUUCGGUAGCAAGAUUGAUAUGACUUAUCAAUCUUGAAAUAUGUUGAACAUAAAAUAAAGAAACACGCAGAUAAUUAUUUUAAGUGGUAAAACCCCACCUCUGGGGAAAAUCCACAGGACUCCUCAGUCCAACACAAAUCUACUAUAGAACAAUGAUUCCAAGAAGUACUCACACACUUAUCCUAGACAUGUUCUAGAUAAUGUUUACCGACUUCUUCAUAACUCAACUUCUGUCACGGGAUGAUCUUCGACACUCCUUAUGUUGAACGCAAUAUUGGUCGCAACUGCUUCAAGCUCACAGGAGGAUAAACGCCACAACAGUCUUGGUACCCUCAACUGUAUGCAUCACCGACAUGCAUAUGAAUGCAAUAUGAAUGAUGAAAGGAUUUAAUAGAUCACCAAGCAAACAAGGAACACUUGAUGACUUAUCUAAACAAUAUGCACGACAGCUUUCUAAAAACUAAUUCAAUAUGCCCAAAAGUUCAACACAUUGAACAACUCUGUAUUUGAAAAGAAAACCGCACCUUUUUAUUCAAUACAUGUUUUCUCUUGAAGAAAAGAAACCCAAGAGACCAUUAAUUCUCUCCAACUAUGACUCUACAACCUAGUCCAAUUUAUGCUCUUCAUUAAGGCGCCAACCAGAAGACAAAAUACUAUCCAAUUAUGAAUAUGAAUGAUUCAAUAUGGACUCAAAGUGAUGACACCAAAACGCUCUAGGAAAGUAAUCUUAAGAGAUAAAAUCUAAUCCUAUUAAAAAUAGGAUUAACAUAAAAAUAUUUGAUUGAAAAUAACUCCAACUAGGAAUCCUAUAAUGAAUGCAUGAUUAUGUCAUGAUUUACCUGAAAUCAGCUUCUUCAUAUCAAUCAAGUCAUACUACGAAAAUCCGGAUUGAAUGUGUUGCUCCAAAACUUCCAGUAAACAAUUCACACACUAAUUCUCAACCUAUACUAGAGUCUAAGAAAUGACUAUAUAAUUUUCAUACUAACAAUUAUGCACUUUGCUAUGACUUCAAGUAUCAUGUACUCAAUUUUCCCAUGCCCACCAUGUUUCCUCUUUAUCUUUUUGACAUAUGUGCUCUCGCUUAACAUAAACUUAACUAUGUUAAGUCUCUUAGCAUUUAUUAAAAAUAAUAUAAAUAAUAAUAAAUAAGCAACGACUGGUUUCUUUCGUUCAUCUACUCUACAACCACCAUGUUCUCCCCACUGCCCCAAAGCCUCCCUAUCUCUCUUUGAGGACUAUAACAUUGUUGGUAUGUUCUGCCACCAAGAAGAGAACCGGCAAGUUCCUAGACAUGACUAAUGUGAGAGCAAAUAUAUUCAACGUCCAAUUCGGCGAUGCCAUGUGGAAAAUAAGGUUGCCCUAAAAUUAUAUUAGUUAAACCAAUUAAUCUGGUUUAUUAGAAUAAUAAACAUGGGAGUUAUCGUAUUUAGACAAUGGAGUAAUGACACUAAAUCUCAUUGAUUAUCUCCAUCCAAUUAUUCAAGAAAUGAAUAAUUAUAUUAAAAGAGUAUUAUUCCCUCCUUAAUUGGCAAAAGAAAUGUUACAAAAAAGGAAUGGAAGGUAGAGACAAAGAAGGUAACUUAAUUCUGAAAACCGUAGAGAAACACUCUCUUAUGGCUCUAGCCCCCACUCUCUUUCUUUUCCUAAAAAGAAAGCUUCAUCUUUUUAGUUAAAGCUGUAUCUUCCAAAGACUAUUUAAUAACUUAGGCAUCAGAUGACCUUUGACCAAUAAUCCUUGGCUGUGCUCUGUUGACCACCAUUUAUUUUGCAGGAUUCGAGGAAGAAGACGAUCAAGAGAUGCGAGGAUUUUCUCCGAAUAUUCAAGGGAAGGAUUUUGCACAAACAAAUUGGUGAGAAAAUUCUUAUUUGAACAAUAUUUACCCUAAUAAACUUGACUAACCAAAGAUGCAUGGUUGCAAAGGAUGCGCCAACACUGCUUAGCCAAUAAAGCUUGAUUAAAAUAAUCGAAAUCUUGAAAACCCAAGCCACCAUAUUUUUAUGACGACAAAGAGAACUUCAUUUAACCCAAUGUAUCCCUCUUUAAUUGCGCCUUUUACCCACCAAAAAUUAGCACACAGAGAAGAUAAUUCUUUGCAAAAUCCUUUAGGCACAUGAAAAGCACUCAUAGAAUAAGACGAAAUAGCUUGAACCACCGCCUUUAAUAAAACCUCAUUCCCUCCUGUCCAGAGAGAUUUUUCCUUCCAACCAUUAAGCCUACUCCAAAUACGAUCAUGCACUGAAUUAGAAAGCUCCCAAUGCCCUCGACUAACCAUUGUAGGCAAACCUAAAUAUCUUUCAUGGCAAGCAACAACCGGUAUACCAAGCACAUUGGCCAUCACAUCUAUGAUUAUCUGUUGGGCAUUAGGGCUAAAAGAUAAAUUUGAUUUAUGUAAAUUAAUUUGUUGACCAUAUACUUCCUCACAAAAGAGAAAAUUUCUAGCAAGAUAAAGCACACAUCCUCCUUCAAUUCAAGAAAAGGAAGGCUAUCAUUUGCAAACAACAUAUGUGAAAUACAUGGACCGGUCCUGCACAUAUUCCUAAUAAUUUCCCAUUGAAUAUCGCUUGAUGUAAAAGGUCCAAGAAAGCUUUAGCACGAAUAAUAAAUGAAUAAGGUGAAAGAAGAUAACCAUGUCAUAAACUCCUUUGUGGGAUAAUGAACCUAAAUGGAUGCCCAUUCUAGAGUACCGAGAACGACACAUAUUGCAGACAAUCCAUGAUUCGAACAACAAAAUUUGAAGCAAAACCUAAUCGCAAUAUCAUGGCCUCCAAGAAACACCAUUCUACCCGGUCAUAAGCCUUAGCCAUAUCUAAUUUGGUAGUCAUUGUCACUUGUUGAUCGUCCUUCAAUUUCUUAACGGAAUGCAUAGUUUCAAAAGCAACUAGUACAUUGUCUAAAAUAUUGCGACGAGGAACAAAGCAUUAUGUGUAUCAUGAAUGACUUCAAGUAUAAUCAAAUUUAGAUGAUUAACAAAAGUUUUUGCCACCAACUUGUAGAUAACUGUACAUAAACUUAUAUUCCUAAACUGUUCAAGGAGUUUUAACCUUUAGAAUAAGAGCAAUCACAGUGUGAUUAUGAGGACGAACACUAGACUCACCAUUCAAAAUUGUUUAAAAAGAUGCACUGACAGUGUCCCCAAAAAUAUGUCAAUAUCGUCGAUAAAAAAAAGGGUUGGCAUGCCAUCAGUUGCGAAACAGUUCAUGAUUGUCUAACCAUAUCCUCACACCUUUCCUCAGGGUCCAUAUCUCUUCAAACUGGACACGGUGCCCUUUUUUUUUAUGAUGGGAAGCAACACCAGGUGGAUCUAUCAAAAGUUCAAGAAGCAGAGGUUUGUGGUCAGAACUAGAGAUGAUCAGAUGGUGACAAACAACAUGCACAAAAGAAGACAUUACAUCCAUAUUUGCUAAACCUCGGUCAAGUUGCUCUUCUACCAAAGCCUCACCAACCCAUUGAUCAAGUUGCUCUACUACAGUGAUUUUUUUAACAAAAUAUUUUAACUCUCCCUCGCAUCCUUCUCUCUUCUCUCUCGCGAUAAUCACUCUCGUCGUUUCUUUUCCUCCAUCAAUUCCUUCUACAUCCUCAAUCUCUGCCGCCAUCUUCUUUUUCCUCCAUCUCUACCGCCAUCUUCUCCUAAACCCCAAAAAUUAGAACCAACAAAACAUAAUUUCUUAGCCCUCUUUUGAUAUCUCUGAUUCGAUUUGAUUAGAAUCCAUAGCUAAAGACGCGAUGGGCCAUUUCAACCUCUCGGACUUCAUCGUCUCCAUUAUCCUCUGCGUCAUUGUCUCUGUUCCUUUCUCUCUCUGUCUCUCUCCCUCACCCAGUCUCAGUGAGUGAGUUGAGUGAGAGAAAAAAAUAUUUUCUCUCGCUCUUUGGCCUCAUCCACCUUCAAGAGACACAAGAUAGGUAAUUUUCCGUUUGAUUUUGAGUUGAGGUUUGGAAUUUUGAAUUAAGGUUUCUCUUUUUGGGUUAAGGUUUCGAUUUCGAAUUAGGGUUUCAAUCAGCAAUUGGGAGAUGUUCAUCAAUGGGCUUGUGAUAGGGAAUUACAAGAGUUACAUAUUUAAGUAUUUGAUCUCUCUUUGACGAUUACAAAGCACUAGACCUUCUCUACAAUUUGUUUUUAGCCCAAAAAAGUUGUAAACUACUCAAACAUAUAUGAAGCUUUUGCUAUACAGUUUUGUUUGUGUCUUCAUUUUUGUUUUUGUUUGAGUCAAGCAGUUUUGUUUCUUGGUUUUGAGUAAAUGCAAAGUCUUUGAGGUAUAAGUUCUUUUCAAAUCUGAAAUUUAUGGUGGUGGUGGUUCAUUUUUGUAUUAAACCUGUAAAUGGCGUGGUUUCGUUACUUUUGAAUUUUGUUUUUGGAUUAAUGAACGCUUUUCUUCCAUUUCCGUAUUCUUUUAGAAGUUUGUUGGGUUGAAUUUAGAUUUGCUAUUGUUUUGAUAGUUUGAGUCUAAUGCGUUGUUUGGUUACUAAGAAAAUGUACUACCAGAGUAAAGCAUUUUGCAUUUGCUAAGCUUUACCAAAAUAGAGUACAUAGUCUACAUUUUGUCUUGUUGAUCUAGUUUCUUUUAGGUUCACAAAGUCCCCAUUUUUGUUAUGUUCUGUGAUUAUGAUGAAACAUAAUUAUAAUUAAAUUAUAAUUAAAAAAUUAAUUAUGGAAUUAAUAUUGAUAUAUAUAAAUAUUGUAUUGGGCUUUUAAAUAUGAUUUAAAGGAAAUGGACAAAAUAGCCCAAAAAGCUACUGGGCCCAAGGGAUAAGUGGCAUAAGAUGACAUGACUUAUGGACCAAAUGGAGUCCUAAAUACCUACCCAAUUGCCUUUUGUGUUGUCCUAUAUAAGCAAGUGUUGGAGAAAACCUAGCUAGGGUUUUUUGGUUUCCUACUUUGGUUGAUGAGUGAUCAUCUUUGUAUCUCAUCUUCCAUAAAACAAAAAUUGGUCCAAUCAAGAAGUAGACUAGCAUCCAUACUUCUUGAUUGCCUUCUCUUCAUCUCUAGGAUCAUUUGGUGUGGUGAGGUAGAAGACUCCAAUCUUAGAGCCUUAAGGUGAAGGAGUCAAAAUCAAGAUAAACAAAAGGCUUUUCCAACAAAGGUGUUCAUUCUUGAGAAAUCAAGAAAAGGUCAUCAAGGGUAAAAAUCUAUUCCCUUUUUCUUUUUUCUAUUUGUGUUCAAAGAGACUAGGCUAAGAUACUUGGUUUAAAAUGAAAAAGGUUUACCUCAACUAGUAUAAACAAAAUGAAUCCGCCAUUUAGAAUUUUUUUGUUGUAUAGGUUGUGGGUAAAGUUCAUUUCCUAAGCAGUAGAUGCAUAUUUCCUUCAAUCAUCAGAGGCAUAUUGUGGAUGGUGAGUGGUCUCUGUCUCCAUGGUUUGAUUACACAUGGGCUAAGAAUCUUAGGUUUGAAAAGAUUUCGUUUUGUUAUUCUUCGGGUUGAAAAUUUACCUCAUUGACCCUAUAAUAAUUUUGUUUUUGGAGUUGUAUUCCUCUUUUGUUUGUAAUCCGACUAUGGAAUGCGGAUAUUAUUGCAAUGCAUUGUUUUUGGAGUUUUUUUUUUUUUUUUUGGGAGUUGUAUUAUUGCAAUCCGAUUAUGGAAUGUGGAUAAUAUGGAAACUGAAAAUUUUUCAAUGAACUGCUUAAUUGAUUAUAGUCUUCAAUUUGGGCUUCAAUUUCUUCAGAUUUUAGAGAUCUCUCUUUAGGUUUAUUUGGCUUGACUGGAAAGUUGGUAUUUGAUAGAUUCUUGGUGAAAGUAAUGUAUAUAGUUUUUCCUAAUCUUAUAUCUCUUUUUGUUUAAUUUCAGUAUGCGAGAAGUGGGAAAAAGAAGGAAUUUUACACCCAAACGCAAUUGGACUAGGUUCGAGAUGAAUGGUCAUGUCAUGUGCUAGACUGGAUUUGAGUUUGAACAUUCUCCUUGUUGUUUUGGUAGUAUUUUGCUUAUAUAUGUAUGGAUGAUGGAUGGAUUUUGGUUUAAUGGCAGGGGAACUCAUAAGUUUACCUAUAUAAGUAUGUUUUUUGAUGUUGCAAUAGGAAUAUAUAUGAAAUGGAUGUGAUGCCUAUAUAUUUUGAGACAGAAACCAAGUAAAAUGUGAUGUGAAACAUGGAAAUUUCUUAUCAGAAGGGUCAAUAAUAUUUAUAGAAAGUCAAAUCAUUUGUAGGCUUUCCACUUUAGCAUAAACACAAAAAACGAAGGCAUAGACCAUAAUUUGCCAUAGCAGUAGCAUCUUUUCUGAUGUGGUAAGUCAUAAUACGCAUCAGUAUAAUCAAAACCUUGAUGCUAUAAUGAGUAUUUAGCAUCAGUGUUAAUAUAUUCCCUGAUGCUGCAUAGGAGGUCAACGCCCUUUUGGCAUAUGGUAACAACUUACGCAUCGGAGAUUAUGUAAAUAGCGAUGCCGUAAAUAAUCUUUAGCAACGGAUAAUAUCCAAAGCAUAUGACUAUAUCAUAAGCAUCGGUUCCCAAUACUUCGGUUCUUAGGUACCUUUAGCAACGGAUAUUAUCCGUUGCUAAAAAUCAAUUUUCACAUAGUGGUCUCUUGCAAGAACACAAAAUCAAGGCUAUGCUCCUUGAGGAAAUUCCGAGGAGCCCUGAAAGUCCAGGGAUUUCUAAGACCACGGACGUUCCAACUAAGAAGUUUCAUGUAUUUGGGUGGGACUGACCCACCAAUUGGUCCUAUAUUGAAGACUGUAACGAAAAAGGAGAAUCGGGGUUACCUCUAAUUUGCUUAAGCAAAGGAGAUGAGGCAAUAUCGGCAGUGUCAGAAAGCCUCUUAACAUGACUUCAGCACACCCACCUAAAGUGGAACAUUUAGAAGAUACAAAACCUUUUGGGUGUGUAAAGUGUUUAGGGAGAAAUUGUACUGGAGAUUCGUUAGACAGAGCAAGGGAAAGCAAAGAAGCUUUUUAAAGGGCUCAAGUUUGGGUGAUAGCAGGGGCUUAUUAGCCAUUAGAUCAGAAAUACCAAAAUCAAAAAGACCACAUUGUCCAUGAGGACAUGUCAAAAAGCAAUUGCUCAGUAAACAUUUAUGAUUAAGUAACCAUCGAAGCACCAGCAACUGCCGGUAACAGCUAUAUGAGAUCCUCACCAUGAACCACCGGUUGUGUCACUGUAUCAGGAUGACCAACAGGAGAGAGAAGAGGCAGGAAAUCUGAGAAUGAUCGGCCACUACCUUUACCCUGACGUGAACCGAAGAAAGGGGACAUCUCAACAAUAUAUUUCAUCCAAGUACCAUAGGGCUUUCCUUCCUCAACACAUAGAGUAUUUGGAGGCUGCGAACAAUCACUAAUCCCAUGGAAAAGACAAUCGUAAUUAUGGGAAAAAGCUGGAAGACGUUCAUCGGUGAAAUCCACCCAACAAGGAGUAUCAUGAGUAAAAAAGAUAUUCAUUCCCCUUAAAAGGAGAAAAACUCUCAUGUAACAGGGAUAACACUUUUUGCUAUCCUCAGCCAAUAAUGCAAUGACACGUAGGAUAACUUUUUUACGUGUCAUUGCAUUAUUGGUCGGGGAUAGCAAAACAGUGCUAUUCCCGUUACAUGUAAGUUUUUUUGUCUCAAAAGAGGUUUUUUAUCUAUAUAUAUAAAGCAAAAGGCAGAGAAUGGUGAAACAUUCAAAAUACCAGAAAAUGCCCUUGGUUAAUGCAAAUAUUAAGAAUUAAAAUUAUUAAUUAAAUGAGGAUAAUAUGGUAAAUUCACAAUUUUUCAUAUUUAAAAAAUUAAAAUUAAAAGAAAAUUCAGAUAAUGGAUCCUAUUUUUAUGGAACACAACUAUCCAUUAUCUUUUUUAAUUCUAAAAUAAAUUUAAAUUUUUAAAAAAAAAACCUCUCGCAGGCGCAGAAGCGCGUGCAGAGAGGCUAGUUAUUAUUAUUAUUAUUUUAUUAUAUAUAUAAUAAUUUUAAUAGUUUUAUUUAAAAUUAACAAAGUUAAGUCACAUGUCAAAAAAAACAAGGAAGAAACAGGUGGGACACAGUAAAAAUAGAUACAUGAAAAUUGACUCCCAAUGUUGGCUACAUAUUAAGUUAAGUUUUCUUACAUCUCCUACAAAUUUUUUGAAAUCAUUUAAGCUAUUAUAUUAUUCUAACCACAUAACAUUUACUUAAUUUGCUUUCCGUUUUAUCAUUUUACGUAAUGAUUAGUUCUUUUUUUCCUUUAUGAAUGGGGUAGUGGAAAUUCGAACUUGAAACCUUUUAUAACCUAAAAAAGAAAAGUACCAUUAGACCAAAUAACUAGUUUGGUGAUAAUCUAACUCUUUGUAAAUUAAACAAAACAAAACUCUUUGAAAAUUAAACAAUAAAGUCCUUCUUUUUUGUCAAAGUUAGAAAGGGAAAUGGGAGAAACUCACACACACAUAUAUUAUGGGGGCUUGAAUCGAGGACCACUUGAAAUCACAUCAAAAAACUUGGCCAAUCCAAUUGGAUUGGAUUUCAAGUAAACAAUCGCCUUGAAAAAUUCGUGAUUCUCUCAAUGCAAGACUCCUUAGAAAUUAAACAAAGUCCUAUUUCAAGUAACUAUUUACCUUGAGCAUUUCGUGAUUCACUCGAUGCAACACUUUAAGAUAAAGUCUAGAUACAUGCAAUCUCUCACCCUCCAAAAUAGAAGUAUUUUAUACUUAUACCUUUUUAAAAUUAUUUAGGCUGAAUUAAUUAUAUUGUCCCUUAAGACUAUGAUUAAAUUCCACAUUACCUCUUGAACGUCGUGAUGACUCACAUUGCUUCAUUAAACAAAGUUUAUUGUCAAGUUCCUAAAUAAAUCUGUCAAAAUCGAUGAAGUGAGUCCUACAUGGCUCCUCUAAUUUUUUUCACGCAUGAGCCACAUCAGUGACUUUGACAAAAAGUGACUUGAUCAUGGAUUGUGGGGAAGGAUAAAGUGAAACACGAAACAUCUGCCAAUGGAACAAGACGAACAUUGACUUAUCUUAUGGAAUCUGUGAUGUUGCUUACACUUCUAACUUCGAUUAUUGCUCAACUUUUGCUCACAUUUCGAUCAAAAGACCUCCCGAAGCCGGUCCACGGUUGAGAACUUGUCUUACUGGACUGGACCAACGUUCCUUUCAACAACCCAAUUUUCAUAUAUAUAUAUAUAUAUAUAUAUAUAUAUCUAUAAGUUCUAUAAUAUCUAACCCCACAUUAAAACAAAAGCAUCACAUAUAAAAUACAAAUUAAUUAAUUAAUUAGUGAUUGAUGGCUCAGCUUUUUGCUUGUGUAAGCAUCUUUCUCUUAGUUUGUGGAUCGGCCAAUGCUCAAGCAACCCAGUUCUGUGCUUAUGCCUGGAAUGAAUUCAGCAAUUGCCUGAGGUUUGUUACAGGCUUAUAUUCUGACCCCUCAGCCCAGUGUUGUGAGUCGAUGAGGACAUUGAACAUGAAGGCCAAAAGUGGUGGGGUAGCUCCUCGGAAUAUAUGUCAGUGCAUUGAGGACAUGGCUUCUGUAUAUGGAAUUCCUUUUGUAGCCUCCAUUAUCCAAGAUCUUCCCAUGAAAUGCAAUGAGCAUCUUAGUUUUCCUAUUUCUAAUAGCAUGAAUUGCACCCAGUAACUCUCUCUCUCUCUCUCUAGCCCUUGUCAAUUAUGUGGGUAUUGGUAUGGUUAAUUAUGUUGGGUUCCAUAUUAAAAUUCGUUAUCAAGUAUUCUCGAAAUAGGAAAUGGGAUUAACUAGAAUGGAGUAGUUGAUCCAAUUCCAAUUUCUUGAUUGGCUUUUCCGACUCCUGUAAAUAAAUACUCUACCAAAAAAACAAUAUUAAUUUGGUCACCAACAUCCGUACAUGAUGAGUGGCUAAAGGCACUAUUGCUGGUGCAUAAUAGUACAAUGUGGUUGUUAGCUAUUAUUGUUUUCUUGUAGUGAUCGGUAUAAUUAAUUAAGUAAAUUUAGGUUUUACUCAUAAAAAAACUUUCACUUUUGGAAAAAGCCAAAGCUUUUUGAAAAAAGACGGAAUAACCUCUCAACUUUCAAACCAAAGACAUGCAAAUGUAAAGGAUUUCUUAGGAAAUCAAAAAAUAAAUAAGGGCAAUUUUGUCCAUUUUUGCUUCUUUUAAAAAUUUUCUCUCUCCUUUGGGCUUUUCCAAAAUCUCAUCUAACACGAUCUCAUAAAUAAUUAGUAAGGUAACCAGUAUAAGCAGCCACUGGUUGAUCUCUUCAUAUACUAGUAGGAAAUUGAAAAUAAAUAAAUAAUGUAAAACAAUGUUCUUGCUACACUAGGCAUUAGUUAAUGUGUACUUCUCUUGACGUCCUAAAUUUGCGAGAAAUAUUUAUAGAACAUAUAUAUGUAUAUGCCUCUCGUAAAGUCAAUGGUGCUGCUCACCGGAUUGCCCAAUUUAGUCUUCGUGAAAGAAGCUCUGGCUCAAUGUAUUUAGCAUAUAUGGUACUCUUUUCUGUCUCAAAAUUUUAUUCCGCAUAGCUCUUUCUCUGAAGAUUUUAAUGAGGUUACAUGCCGACUCUAUUGUAUUUGGAAUUUGUUUCCAAUGAAGUCAUCAGGACAGAGUAAUGAUGCAUGACAUUAUUUCCGCCUACUCCUUACAAGGGUUUGAAUUGAGAAUUAUCAUGUGUCCUCUGCCGAUCAGUAUUGCGCUUUGCAACGCACACAUGUCUAACAUGUGAUUGGCCCACAUGUCUAACAACGGGAAAUAAAACAUUUUCUGCGUUUCAAUUCAAUGUUUUCUUAUUUGCCAAAGAAAAAAAAAUUCAAUGUUUUGUUAAUUUUCUACAUCCACGUGGAUGCUUAAAAAGAGAGUGAAUUCAGAGUCGCUCUGGGCGACUCGGAAUAGCUUUGCUCCUUGACCACAAUAGUCAUUUGAAGUAAUUACUUUUACAAGGUACAUUUCAAAACACAAGAUCUCUCUCUCUCUCUCUCUCUCUCUCUCUCUCUCUCCCCGACUGACACGUGGCAACUAAAGAGAGAUACAUCUCACUGCACAAUCAUGUCGAACUCAACCCUUUCGAAGAAGUAAAGAGCUGACUAUUUACUUGCCACCAUAACAAAGAGAAAGCACGCUGAGCAUUGUACUGUCGAGAGGUCGAGAGGUCGAGAGGUCCUUCCAAUACUCAAGAUACCUUCGUACACAUGAGCCACAUUUCCAAUACUCAAUAUACCUUUGUACUGUCAGUCGAGAGGUCCUUCCGAAGCCAGAAGUUAACAAGAAACGAGUCAAUAAUAAUCUGCAUCAGUAAAAUUAUUUGUCAGUUAAAGAAAAUUUAAGAAGAUACGGAUGAAUGGACGUAAGAAGAACCUGAUUUAAGUGUGCUGCAACACAAGGAACAACAAGCAAACCAGAUUCACCCAGUGCACCACCAAGUUGCUCCACUACAGCCACCAUUACAGGCAGAGUUUUCUGUGAAAAGCAUGCCCAGGCAUCAACAAUCAUUGAUUGCAUUAAAGAAAAAAACUACUGAUUUUUUUAAGCAGUUGCUCCUUACAAAGUCAAAAGUCGACAGGUAUCCUAAACAAAAUAGUCACUUAGGCCUACAAGAGAUCUAAGUCACAACUUCACCAAGGAUGGGGAGUUCAAGAGUUGGAGAGCAAACAUAUUUCAAUACUGGCUAGAGAAAGUAAAAGUUUGAAAAGAAUGAGAAUUUUUUAGUUGAAGGUAUGCAUAUCUCUCACCUGGCUCGCAACAAGGAGAACAGCAUUGGCAUUUUCUUUCUUGGAAAACACUGAUCGACUGCCACCAGAGACAGCUGAGAUGCUCUUUAGAGCAAGAGCAUUAAAGGCUAACAAGAUGAGGUGCAGAAGUCUGCAAUAAAAGAAGAGAGAUCUUUUCAGUAGGCCAAUGCAUUUGAGCCCAUCAAGUUUCUAAGACACCUAUCUUGUGUGCAAUCCAAAUACAUCACAUAUCGUUUCCUUUUAAGUGUGGUUCAUUAGAACAUCUUCAGCCAAAGAAUGUCAAGCAAAUCUACUCAUUUGAGGGCACUAAGGGUUUAAAAGAUACUGGAUACAAGUCCAAUAAAGAAGACCCAGAGUAACAAUUUGGAUUCAAUAAUUUUGAGAAGAAACAAACCUUUGAUAAUGCUAACAAAAAUUACAGUACCAGUGGACAAGGUGUGCAGUCUAAGAACGUACAAAAAACAAAAGGAAGAAAAAGAACAGACAUAGAACUAGUGUAUCAAAAAUAGAAUAAUAUUGAACCCAAGAAGCCCCCCAAGCACUUCUACAAUUUGGCUUCGAUAUCAAUUCUACUGGAAUAUAUUCUCAAGCAAUAUUUGUUGUAGGUAAAGUAUUAUUGCUUCCAAAUUGAAACAUGUGAACAAAAAUAUAAACUGAAAAUUCAACGUGUGAAAUAGCUCCAUUCAAUGAGAAUGAAAGUAGAAAUGAGGUCACCGAUUGUGAUGGACUUUAAGCUAGGUGGGCAAGGUGUGCAGUCUAAGAACGUACAAAAAACAAAAGGAAGAAAAAGAACAGACAUAGAACUAGUGUAUCAAAAAUAGAAUAAUAUUGAACCCAAGAAGCCCCCCAAGCACUUCUACAAUUUGGCUUCGAUAUCAAUUCUACUGGAAUAUAUUCUCAAGCAAUAUUUGUUGUAGGUAAAGUAUUAUUGCUUCCAAAUUGAAACAUGUGAACAAAAAUAUAAACUGAAACUUCAACGUGUGAAAUAGCUCCAUUCAAUGAGAAUGAAAGUAGAAAUGAGGUCACCGAUUGUGAUGGACUUUAAGCUAGGUGGGCAAGAUUGGUCUAGUCAAAUCUACGCCAUGUAGCAUGUAGGUUUGCAUAAGCAUGCCCUAUCCCCUCGGGUUAGUAGGGGCCCCCAUACACUAUGAGUGGGAAAAAAAAAUUGUAGAAAUGAUGUCUUACACCCUACAGACUAGUUAAUGUUUGAGAAAGCAUCAUACAUGUCCCUAAAGAUUCAGCACCAAGUUUAGAUAUUUUCAAAGUUUCUGAAGGAGGAUUUCUUGCCUAAAACAUUCUGCAUGAAAAGAACUAGACUGGCUGGAAGUUCCUAGAAAUAAACUUAAAAAGCAAAGACAAAAAUAAUUCAAAUUUGUACUAUUGCAUUAAAGCAUUAAACUAGUGAGAACAAGAAGAAAUUUUUUUUGAAAAUUAGGGUGAAGAUCAUACACUCCCAUUCCAAUAGCCACAAGAAAAACUGGAGGCUUAACCAUCAACAGCAGUGACCUCGACCUACUAACUUGUAUCCAUGGCACCUGAAUAACCAUCAGAUGUUUAAAAGUUUACAACAUCUGCAAUUUAAAACUUAAGAGAAACAAAGAUGUCCUACAAGAACCAAAGACAACACACAUUUCCCAAAAUAAUUUAAGUUUCAGCUAGGAUCUGUACAUUUUAGUAUUUGAACUGGCUUGGGGCAACAUGUUAACUUCCACAUUCUGAAGAAAUGAGAACAUUGUGACACAAGAAUUUAACAAUUUUUUUCCAUUUAAACAAAAUGAUCGUAUCACCAGAACAUCAUAAAUAAAUUAAUGAAACAUGAGAAUGAACUACAUAUCAAAUCAGCAAUGAAUAAACAGAAUGCAGUAUAAUAGACUUUGAAAACAUAACCACCACCAGAACAUUUUUCUUUUUUGACAAGUAAAUUUCAUUCCCAAAAAUCAAGAAUUACAACACCAAAACUCAGUACAAAAUAGACCAUAACAGCAACCAAACAUAUACAAUUACAGUCUCAGGUUGUUCAAAAACUUCAUAAAAAAAUGAAAAGGUUCCCCGUUUUCUUUAAGGACUGGAUGCACAAAAUCGAAUGCUUGAGGACCCCAAUUGGGGCCUACACAUCCUUUAAGCAUCUGUUGCUUUCUUUCCAUAUGCAUCCACAAUGAAGCAAUCAGCCAACACUCAUGAAAGCCCUGCUAACUCUAAACCCCUCAAAGCCCAUAACAAAUCCACUACUUGACAUGUAUCCCAGUUAUGCAGAUAUUUGAGAAAGGGAAUGUCCCAAACCAAAUCCUUGCCAAAAAGACUGAAACUCAAAAAUCACGGCAAAUUUGCUUUUAUGCAAUAUUGUAAAGUAUACGGGGAAGACAUCUGCCAUGGAUGAUCCCCGCACCAGACAUCUGACAAAAGGCGAACCAGGCCACCAUCCCCCCACCUUAGACCUAAUGAGUUUGUAAACUCUGUAAGAAGCAUCCAAACCUUUCCCGAUACCUUCUCAACACCUAUCCUAAAACAUUUGCACAUUGUGCAUCUUUGCUAGGUACCAUCCCCUGACCCAACAACAAAUAAGUGGGAAAGCAUAAGUCUGAUCUAAGCUCUUCUUUAUUUGAGUUUUUUUUAUGCCAAAUACCAGAAGAUCCCAGUUUCCUUAAAAUGGACUAAUACUUAAACUUUCAGAAGACCCGGGAGGGAGAAACAUUACUCUGCAAGAAUGAUAAUUAUAUAAAACACAAAUUUCAUUGAAACCAGAAGAAUAGUGCCCAAGAAUACGUCAACUGAUAAACCACAAUAUUGCACCAAUGGGCUACAUAUCAAAACAACCUACACAGUCAUAAAUGCCUUGUACAUAAACUAACAAAUAUCAUGGUGAAGAGGAAAGUAAAAUAGUACGACAGAAUAACCAAAAUUAAAAAGUAAAUAGAAAAAUAUAAACCAGGAUAUUGGUCUUACUAAACUGAGGAAGACUGCACUGAUCUUAGAAAAAAGCUUACGGUUUUGAUCAACAAAGUCUGCAACACCUGUAAUGGACAUUUAAUGAGGACUGACUAACAAAAGAUAAAGUGUUCAGACAUUAGAAAAUUGACUAAAAAUUAAAGUUCUUAAAGUUUAGCAUGGAUGUCAGAAUUCAUCCUGUUAGUUUAAUCAAAUUAUGGUUUCUAUACCAGAUCAAGCCUAAAAUAGAGGUUAUUCCAACCCAACAUCAUUCUACAUUCAUAUGUGGGUUAGCUUUGUAACUAUUUCAAUCAGAAGAACCUAUAGUCUCAAGAGUGUUUCUGGUAUGUUCAAGGCUAAGCUUUGAAGGUGAGAGAACCAUUAAAAAUUUCUAAUGGGUGUGGACAGAUAUCCCUCAUUCCAAUGCUGAAAAUUCCUGUCCAUUUCACCAGUGGAUGAAGGCCUUAGGCUUGACAAUGUAAAAUGGUAAGUUUCUCACUGAUUCUUAACCUAUUGCAAAGUGUGCAAGUUUUUUAUACAAUCAUAUCAAGAUUUUGAAAUUUUAAGAAAUGUGUAGUGAAUCACGAGUAGGACUGUAGUUUCUCAAGAAUAGGAUAAGGAACAGUAGUUUGUGAUUUAGGAAGUGGAAGUUUGGGAGUUUUAAAAUUGUAACGUUUGGUUACGUUUUUGGAGAAUGUUUCUGAGUAUAUUUUCUGAAAAUGAAAAUGAGAAAAUGAAUUUGCAUUUUCAGGAUUCAAAAAUGUGUCUGGGAGAUUAAUUGGAAAACAGAUUCGGAAAAUAAAAAUAGUGAAAACAUGUCUGGUAGGGCAAUUUGAGAAUAAUAAUAUGUGAGUUAUUUUUCAAGUAUAUUUUUGCUAAUUUUUGUUCUAAAAAAAAAAAAUUUAAUACAGGCUAAAAGUAUUAUAAACGAUGAAAAAUGUAUAAUUUGAGAAUAAUAAUGUAUAAUUAAAAUAAAAUAAAAUUUCUAAUGUUAGAAAAACCUAGAUAAUAAAAUUCAAUUAUCGUUAGUUUAAAAUAAAUAUGAAAUUGAAUAUUAUAUGAUGGUUUUAUCAUAAAAUUAAUAUACACUGGUGUAACAAAAUAAAAUAAUGAAGUGCAACGAAAAAAAUGAAAACUGAAAAAUGAAAAGCAAUCAGACCAAUACACUGGGUAGAAAAUGAAAACAAUAAUUUGGUUUUUCAGUUUUUGUACAUGAGUUUGAAUUUGUUUUUAGAAAACGAAUUCCAGUGAAAAUGAAAAUGACAUACCAAACGCAGUUUUGGUAGAAAAUGAAAACGGGGCCUUGAAAGCAUCACUGAACGGCCCCUAAAAGACUUUCCGGUACUCUUACAUUUAGAAAUUAUUGAUAUUGUUGUCCAUCUGAAAAACUCAGAGGCCAAUCGUGCAAUCUCCAUUCUAGAAUAGUAUGUUAAGCAUAAAGUUAAUAUCAGGGUGCGAUGUCACUAUUUCACAUCAAUCGUUUUGUGUGUGAGGCCACACAUGCACAUGCAUUUGAUGUUUAUAUACAAUGAUUGUACUUGUGUACGUAUGCAUAGUGUACGUAUGUCUGUGUAUCUAUAAGAAAUUAUGUAGAAUGAGACUGAUAGCCUGAACUGUAUUGUGCCUCAUUCUUAGUACUCAGUAAACAAAUACCAUUCAGGUCCUAAAAUUCAUAUGAAGUUAUUGGCUGCCACAAAAACAGUCCAGAACAUUAGACAACACCCGAAACAGAAAGAAGAUAAUGAAAUACUCACCUCUGAAGGAUUCUCGAAAAAUCUGUUCAAGGAAAGGACAAGUAACUAUGAAAACGAUAAAACACCAAAGAGAGUAUAUAAUGUAUCUUUUCAAGAGGCAAACUAAACGAUUUCUAUAAAAAGGUAAGAAAAAGGGAAUAUUGAAAAACACAUCUAUGCUUACUUCAGUAAAUAGUUGAUAAAUCAUAAAGUCAGUUUUGUUAGAAAGGAAUUGAUUACCUUCCCCAAGAUUAGGGGGAUCAACAAUGUUAGAACAAGACUUUUGAACAGUUGCUUAGUUGGAACAGAUACACCAACUCCACCAGCUAUGUAUUUUGAUAUAGAAAAUGGGACCUAUAAGGGGGAUAUGGUGUUAGCGUAUGCUUAAUGAGAUCAACUAGAGAACUAAAUCAGUUGCUGUAAGCCUUACAGAGCAAAUGCUGUUUUAUCAAUCCGAUUCUAUAUAAAUAAGUGAAUGCAAACAAAAAUUGAGAACACUUGGGACUAGAAAACUCACAAUCAAAAUUCCUAAAAGGUUACUGAUCACAGUAAUGGCAAGAGCAAGAGCAGAAUUGGCCCCCGCAAGCUGCAUUUGAAGAACACAAACCUUUAGCCAAGCCCAAAACCUAGUACAUACUGCUAAACAAUAGCAGGAAAAUGAAAAUGUUCAACUAAGAUCAAAGACAAAGGAAUUAGCAACCUGAGCAAGUGCCACUCCACUUGAUAGUGUAGUUGGCAUACAACAAAAUAUUGCAAGCCCUACAACAAUCAAGAAACUACUUUCAAUUAAGAUUCAGGAAUAACAGAUGAAUGAUUCACCAUGAUUCUGCAAAUUCCAAGCUAACUUACACAACAAAAUUAAGUAUUUGCAAUCAAGCAACGACAAACGACCAAAAAAAAUCUGCAGAGUUUGAGCUUAGCUGUUUUGCUAAAACGAGCAACCCUAAACGCUAUACCCAUACUCAAGCACCUAAAUACCAUACUCAACCCUAAAAAGUUUUUGUCAUUGCUUUGUCCAAUGGCCAUAGUUAGUGAUACUAAGUCACCUACGAUCAGAUUCUUGUCAUAAAUUUCUAUCGCAUGGAAAAUAUCAAUUUAAAAGAAGGAUAAUUCUCCAAUUUUCAUAGCCAGAUAGGAUCUCUCACAAAAAAUUAAGCUCUUUGUCAUUGAAGCAAGCUAUAAACCGCAUAUGCUUAGGGGUGAUUGAGCUAAUUUAGUUGAUUUGAUUGAGCUCAUUUGGAUGACUUCUAGGGCUAUACAGGAAUUUUUCAUUGAAUUCAAAUUUAUUUGUUUAUGGUAUAUAAGGCAAUGUAAACUUUUUUAGAAGAAACCACAAUUUCAUUACGAACUUUCAUACACAACAGGCCUGAAACUUCACAGUAAUUUCAUUCAGAAUUUCUCGAAUAUUUAAAUAACAGAAUUGCCCUCUCAACCAACACUACAGGUGAAAAUAAAUUCAAUUGCCAAACCUCUAACAAACUCUGGAGGUUGGAGCUGCAGUUGCAAUAUUAUCCUCGAAAAAUAUGGAGUAAAUAAUAGAAUGGAGACCUGAACCAUGGAGAGGAUUAGCAAUAUGUAACAGAUCUAGCUAGCAUUAAUGAAAUGUCAAUGCAAGUGGUAUCCAUAAGCCUCAAUUUAAAAAUGGCCUAGGGAUUAAUUAUAUAAUAACAUAUUCAGAAGCAAUGGAAAAUCAAUGCAAUCCACAAAUCUCAGUUUAAAGUAGAUAAAGUAUCAGUUAGGAAAAAGAAAAAAUCAAGUAACACAUCUUAAAGAAACAAAAUGAAGAUAAACGAGCUCUCAGUUAUGAGAUACUGCCCCAACAUUUUUCACCAAUCUACAGAUAUUAAGGCAUAUAAGACUGUAGCUUGUUAUAAGAAACAACAGAGAUUCAAUCAUCGUGCCAGUCAGCAGGCAACUUGAAAUCGGAGAGGUCAAUGGAGACAAGGCAUUAUAUUAGUUCAUCCAAAGUCAUAUUUUUCAGUCACAAUGCUAAACACAUGAGAUAUACACAAUACAUAAAUGAUAAAGCAUAGCAUAAGUUUAAACCACUGGAUGCAAUAACGUUUUAAUAAAAGAUUACAUCAGUUUCUCUAUUUUUCCCAAACAUCUAAAGGAACAAAAGCAUGUCCUUAAAACAUUUUCAAAUACAGUUAUACUUGAUAAGAAAGAAGUUUUUAAAAGCAACAUAUAAAAUACAGAAAUAGAGACAUUGAUCCACUCAAUACUAUGAAAUGGAUGCCCUAUAAAGACAUGUACCAAAUCUGUCUUUCAUGUCUGAGUCUAGUAAGUAUAGAGUUAUCAACAAUAACAUCUAUUCAAACGCAGGCCCUCUAUGCAUUGCAUACUAGUGUGAGAUAUGUAUGUGUAUGCGCGUGCAGCUGCGUGUCCAUGUGCGUGCUCGUGAGCGUGUACCCAAGAACAUGCAAAAGAGAAGGACAUGAGACAUUGAGGUCAUACUAGCCCGAAGAUUCCGGCAGGCCAUGCUUGUGCAGCUGCAACAAUUUCUCCAGUGUGCAAGGUCAACCCUAUAGAAUCACAUUGAACAAAUUAGGCCCAUUAUUAGCAUAAACUAAAGAAAAAUCAAACAGAUUGGAACCAGAGAAAUGCAGAAUUCUAACCUGAGAUGAUAAAAAUCCCAAACGUGCUAAAUUUUGACAAAGAAUACGUAUCAGCCAGACAACCUAGACUAGGAUUUGCCAUCCCUAAAGCUACUCCACCAACAAGAGCUGCAUAUAAUAUUGCAGACAUUUAUCAAUAAACAAUACUAAACAAAACGAGGAAUGUGAUUAAUUAUGAUAACACUGUGAAAACACAAAACUUUCAACAAAACAUAGAAGUCACCUAAGGGAAGAAAAUUAUUCGCCACGAAAUGCGACAAUGGUUUAGCCCAACUCAAGCCCUUCACUGAACCAGAAUCGUUAUGAGCUUUCUUUCCAUCACCAUCUAUCUGAAAAAACAUUCACAUUUCUUUAAAUGAUUAAACAGAACAUAUAAUUUUGAGAUUUAUCAUUUGGGUACCUAAAUCCUAAACCAAAUUAUCAAAAAUUUCCUUCAGAAAUUUAAAUUACACUAUAACCAUGUCCAAACACCAAGACAGCAAAAUUAGAAUCAUUAUUGGUGAGUUACCAAACAGCGCACAAACAAGUAAACAGAACCUGAUCGGACUGUUGGCAAGCUUUGACGGGUUUCGAAAUGGAGCGGCUAAGUUGAAAAUUGAAACGGAAUGCCGCAUGUUUGGACGGAAAAUGUGGGAUUCGGUGAGCAAACGGCAACAAUUUGGCGGGUCGAGGUGUGAGAAUUAGGGCAUGGAUGGUUCCCGCCAUGGGAAUUACUGCAAAAGUCAAAACGUGUCACUCUCUUUUUUCUUUUCUUUUUCCUUUUUGUUAUCAGAAGGAAAAAUGGGUGAAUUAAGAAAGAGGAAUGCUACUCUUCAAAUAGUCUAUAUUUUUGGGUAAUAAAAAUUAAAUUAAUAUAUGUUGGGCUCAUAGUAUUUUUUCUCAUUCAACAAAGUAGUUUUUAAGGGUUUUUUUUCUUUUUUUUUGGGUAAUGGGGGAGUUAGUUGUUUGGAUGGAAGAUGGUCAUGUUUGGUUGUCUUUUAUUUUUUUUUAAUCAAAAUAAAUUUCAUUAGAUAAACUUUAAUAGCACAAUUAAAGACAUCAAUAUGACAUAUAAAGUACCAAGAAAGCAACAAACUAACAUGAGAAAAAACAAAAUUAGAGCCGAAAAAAGCCGCAUUAAAACUAACCCACUUCACUACAAUAAUUAACCAUAAGUCCAAACAAAGCUCGCAAACCCAAUAUGACCUAAACCCUAAACCAACCCAUGAGCCUAAUUGAACCCUCCCACCACCAUCUGAAGAACUGCAAUCGUGGCCACACCUACCACUGCAUUCGUAACAUAUCUGGGAAAAAUAUGAUUCCCAGCGCAUCUACCUGCAAAUAAUAGCCAACAAAUAACGAAAACAAGAACUCUACCAAAGAACAAUUGAGUGAUUUGUAGCAACCUUCGUUAAAGACGAUGUAGAACAAAAAGAGAACAUGAGCAGUCUUAGAGAGCGAGUUUUGGGAGAAAGAUUUGAUUGAGAAUAUAGACUAAAAUGAGUGAUGGGGAACUUCAAUCUGAGCAUGACCCAGAAGAAAUCACCACAAAAGGGGCUUCUUAUUCAAAACGUCUCGGUGAAUUAUUCACUAACCCAAAAGGAAAGGACGAGAAGAGAGGAGGGAGAGGAGAGGCAGUGAAAACUUCUUUCUCCUCCCCCCCUCUAUGGAGUUUUUCCUUUGGGACUCACAAAGGGAGAAAGCGGCUAGGGUUUUAGAGGGAGUAAGUCUUUGGUUGUCUUCUAUUUAAAUGAUGAUGAAUACAAUUUAUGAGCUUCUUAUCAAAAACAACAAAGAAAGUAGUUUUUAAUUGGAAAUUUUUUUUGGGUCAUGGGGCGGAUCAAGGAACCCGUUUCCAAACAAAGGCAAGGAUGAGGAAUCCUUGAUUUGAAUAUUACGGGUAUGAAGGCGGGGAUUUGAGAAAAAUGCUUAACGGGGAUGGGAUGUGAAUGACAUACCCACCCUUGAUUGGACCCAUUGUCAUCCAUAUCUUCAUGCUCUUGUAGAAGAAAGCUUACUUUAAAAAGACAGAGAGCUCAAAAAACACUUUAUUUUUUAUAUGAGUGAUACUUUAAAUUAUUUUAAAUUAAUCUAAUUUAUGAAAAAUUCGAACUUGAGUUGACUAUCCCAAAAAGCAACAAGAGUUCCCAUCCAUCAAUUUUAUUUUUUCUUAGCAAUAACACCCAUCAAAUUAUCAAAAUUAAAAUAAAAAAUUUACCUAGUUCUAUCACAAAGCAAAGCAAAAUAAAUUUACCAUAAAGGGAUUGCUAUAGGGACAUUUUUCCUUUGUUUUGGUCAAAAGCAUGUUUCAUUUAGUCCCUAUAAGAUUCAUAAUGUUAAAUAAGGACAUAUUUUGUAGUUGUGGGACGAUAAUGUCCUUAUUUAUUUAUUUUUAUAUUGCCUUGGAAGUCUACCUUUGCUUUUCAUAUGGUGACACAGAAAUUUUCCUUUCGCUUAGUAUAGUUACAUGGCUCAACUUUCUUUUGUAAAGUACCACGUAGAUGAUCCCUUCAUGCGCAAGAAAAAUUUCCUGAGGGCCUUUCCGACGACACACUUGUUUAAAAUAAUCUUUAAGAACAAUGGCGGACUCAGGAAUUUUAAUAGGAUUGGGCUAUUUUUUUAUUUUUUUAUUUUUUUUUACAGGAGAUAUAUUAUAAGCCUUUUUUUUCUUCAUGAAACAAAAAUGUGAAUAAAAUUUUAUAAAUCAAACAAGGCCACAAUACGAGCAAAUAUAACACAAAGAAGUACAAAAUAUAAAUAAAUACCACAUCAAACACAUUGUUCAACUACUUGAGAUCCGAGUUGAGAAAGUUCCUCAGGAAUUGAAGUAUCAACAUUAUGUAGAAGGUGUAUGUGUAUCUUUGUUAUCGUUACCCUUUUUUUUGAAGAAUAGUUUUUCCUCUCUUUGUUGGUCUCUUAUCAUCAUGUGAUAUGAUAUCCUAACAAGAAAUACUAUACACGAAAAAUCAUAUAUACUAAUUAAUAAUUUAAGUUGCAAAAAUAAAACAUAUAUAACAAUCCCCAAAAGUUUUCACCCGAACCCUAAAUCAUAAAAACUUAACAACAACAAUUAAAAUUGGAAAUUGAGUGUAAAAAAAAAAUAUAUAUAAAAACUUACCAAGAUUGAUGAACCCACUGAAGAUAGGUUGGUACAAUAUUUUAGAGGGGGUGAGUUAUUUAUUCUAGGCUCUGAAGGUUCAAAUAUGGCGUUUUGGGUGGCUAGAAGAAAAUUUCUAAUGUUUGCUUCUAAUCAAAUUUAUAUAGGUUAUGGAUUGCAUGUUUAAUAUUUCAUAUAUGCUUCAAGAGUGGGCUUAUUUUAAAUAGAUGGCUGGACUAUUAUUUACUUUAGCUAUAUUUAGUUUAAACCACUAAAACUACACACACACACACACAAAAUUUAAAUAUUAAAAAAUAAAAAAAUAAAAAAUUCAGCAUUGGGCCGGAGCCCACUCUAGCCUAAAUGUAAAUCCGCCCUUGUUUAAGACAAAACUUAUAUUCCUAUAGUAAAAGGACAACUAUGUCUAACCGUGAUUAAUUAUAAUCAUAAAUAAAAUUAUCUCUUCCGACAAACAAGAAAUAUCCUCGAAAAUACUUCAAUCACUUCUAACGACGCAAUAACGUUGUCGGAAACAUAAACUUAUUACCCACAGAAGAACUAAUACUCCUUAGAAAUACAUAAAACACUUCCGGGAAUGUCCAAUAGUCAUUGUAAAUUUUAUUAUCAAGAAAGACUAUAUCCUUCAUAAAUACUCUUGUUUAUACCGAAAUAAACGGCCUAUGAUCACCGAACAUGUGGACGGGAUCGAUACUGAUCACAGAACCCCUUCGGCAUGCUUCCUACCGAAGCCAUCUAUCUUGGCCAUUUUUACCAUCGGACACGUGUCAUGCUCACAAUCCAUGUCCAGAGUCCUACAUCGGAAAUAUGAGCACAGUGCACACCUCUCAAGGCCUAUAUAAGAAACCCAUAUCCCCAAAAGGAAGGGAUCAGAACUAACGAUACGCUAUCGAUUGAUCUGUCAGUUAACUUUACUAAAACCGUACUUACUAAAGCAUCGGAGAGCCUUCGGCCGGUACCACACCGGUACCCCAAGGACUUACCGAACGUGUCCUUUUGUAGGUACUUACCCUUCCGAAGUAGAACAUCUACCGAAGACAGUCACCUACCGAAGGCAUAAUAUAACUAAGUUGACGAAAUACGUGCUGAACCACUUUUUCGCAUCAACAGUUUGGCGCCGUCUGUGGGAAUCCAGAAAAAUCAUCAACCUACUAUCCCCAAAACACAUGGGGACCACUUCAGUACCCACGUUCUUAUCGGAAGGCAGAGCGGAGCUAGCCCAGCGCUACCCCCAGGCACUCCCUUCAGAAACGCCCCCGCAACCCAAACAACCGCCGAAGCCGAGCUGCUAGUCCAAAUCGCGUCCCUACGGAAGGACAUGGCAAGGCUUCAGGAACACAACAACCUUCUUUCGUCCAAAGUGGACGAAACCCAGCAGCUGCUCCACCAGCAGCACACGCAGAACAUCCAGACAACCUACUCUUCCGAGAGCUUGUAGACCCCCCAUAGGAAGAAGAAACACGAGAAGGCAGCGAAGGCAACGCCCGCACCUUUCAGAGAGUUGGUAGUUCCGGCACCCAGGGAUCAGCCGCACAUCCCCAAGAAAGUCUACUCUAAUUGCCGAUAUCGAAUUAACGACCGGGAACAUCGGAUCAACGACCGGGAACAUCGGAUUAACGAUCGGGAGGCAGAGAGACAGAGGUCUCCGAUCAGGAUUAGCACUCGAAUAAGGGACUCACGGAUGAAAAUCCUAGGAAACAAGUCGCCUAUUCGGAAGGUCAGAGGGCUGGACUCCGCAGAGUCGUCGGAAUCCGAGUAUAUCCCUUCCAGGACGCAAACUUCCACCUACCGUUCGGCAACGCCUUCACGGUACUCGGGGGUUAACUCAUCAAGCCUCCAAAGACAAUCGGAAGAUUAUGGUUCCGAGGAAAUCCCUAGCCGAGAUCCCGUUGUCCGACUCUUUUUUCAGAAAGUCCAGAAAAUGGAAAACGACAACGCUCGCUCCCAAGAACCGGAAUGGGGGAAGCUUCGGCCCAGACCAUUCACCAGGCGCAUCCGGGACUCUCGGCAGGAUAGAGAAGGGCAGCAACUGCGUAUACCGUUCUAUACGGGAACGGAAGACCCCUUAACACACCUCCACUCAUUUCAGUCCUCCAUUGGAUGCAAGAGCCUGAGCGAUGAAGGGCAGUGCCUGCUAUUCCCGUCCUCCCUUACCGGGGCAGCCCUGAACUGGUUCUACCGGUUGGAGCCGGAAACGGUAGACUCCUUCGACGAACUGAAGCAGAUUUUCCUCAAUCACUUCAUGAUCCAAACGGACCGUCUUUACUCUGCUGAUGAUCUGUACACGAUUCGGCAAAGAGAGGACGAACCGUUGAGAGAAUACGCGGCACGCUUCAGUCAUAAGUACUCAAGGUGUCCGGAAACAGACGAUAGGGCAGCCUACGGCGCCUUCAAGAGUGGCCUUCGGUCCUCGCAUUUCCGAUACCUAGUACACAACAGCAACUGGCGCACGUACGACGAACUGACGAAGCAGGCGGCGAUCCACGCCAAAGCCGAAUACUUCAACUCGAAACCCGCGAUUUCGGCACCGCGAGGAGAUGUCGAACCAAGUGCUUAUCCGGCAAAGGCGCCACCCUACGAGAGAGUCGACCCAUAUUUGGCAGGUCAUAAGAGGAAAGACGACCGUGUCGAUCGAAGAGAACACUCGAAGAAGGGAAAAGGGAGGUAUGGUCGCAACGACCACCGAGCGCCGCUGCCGAAUCGUGACCACGGCAAUGAAGUCUUUACCCUAUUGAACACUACCUACGAGGCCGUCCUGAUGAACGAACAAGAAAUAAUACCAAAGCUGAAUCUUCGAAGACCCAAUCGGCAAGACAACCGGGAUACCGGUAAAUUCUGCCGAUACCAUCAGCACAACAGCCAUAAUACGGAAGACUGUAUAAGCUUGAGAAAAAUUAUCGAACGGUUGAUCAGAGAGGGGAAGUUAGACCAGUAUAUCGCCCGGCAGCCACCGGCGCCGGUACCGAACACAACUCGGCAGAUAAACAUGAUAAGCACUAUCAGCGGUGGCCCCACCAUCGCAGGAAUGAGCAACCGUUCAAUGAAGCAAUACGUGCGUGCCGCACAAUUUCCUCAAGUAUUCGGCAUAGAGGUGAAUCGGCACCAGGAAAUCCUGAAAGUUCGUUAGGAACCAAUCACAUUUUGUGAAGAGGAGGAAGAGGGCAUCCUCCAUCCCCACGACGACCCGAUGAUCGUCUGAGCAGAAAUUGCCGACUACGAUGUAGGACGGGUGCUGAUCGAUACCGGGAGCUCGGUGAACGUAAUUUUUGCCGAAGCUUUCCGAGAGAUGGGUAUAAAGGACAGCCAGGUCAACCAGCAGUUGACACCUUUGUUAAGUUUCUCUGGGGACCUGGUCCAACCGGUCGGUAGUGUAAAACUGCCAAUUACCUUCGGCACCGCGCCAAGGAAAACGACGGUAUACGAUCAGUUCCUCAUCGUUGACUGCCCGACAGCAUAUAACGUCAUAGUUGGACGAAUGGCACUCACCAGGGUCAAGGCACAUCUUUCCCCCUACAUGCUACUGAUGAAGUUCCCGACCCCCAACUGCACAGGGGCUGUCCGAGAAAACCAGUUAAGCGCGCGGACUUGCUACGCCACGGCCCUCAAGUCAACCUCUUUUAAAAUCCCCGACAAGACCAUGUCUGUACAGAGGAUACCGAACGGUACGGGACCAGUUGACGACCCAAGAAAUGAGUCCCCGACUCCUCACACACAACCUGCCGAAGAACUGGAGACGAUAACCCUGAGCGAAUAGCAGCCCGAUCGUCGGGUUAGAAUCGGCACCAGACUCACCCCUGCCCUCCGAACGCAGUUCAUAGACUUCUUACGGCAUCAUUCGGAAGUGUUCGCGUGGUCCUACGAAGAUAUGCCCGGCAUAGACCCUGAGAUCAUCAGCCAUAAACUCAGCAUUUCCCCCGCUUAUAAGCCUGUAAGACAGAAGCGCCGUUCGUAUGAUGCCGAACGAUACGAAGCCAUGCGCACAGAAGUUGACAAACUUCAAACCAUCGGCUUCAUCAGGGAGGCUAUGUAUCCGGUAUGGCUGGCAAAUUCGGUGAUGGUCCGGAAGGGUACAGGCGGGUGGCGAAUGUGCCAAGACUAUACCGACCUGAACAAGGCCUGCCCAAAUGACAGCUUUCCGUUGCCACGGAUAGACCAACUCGUGGACGCCACCGCCGGCCACGAACUGCUCAGUUUCAUGGACGCCUAUUCAGGAUACAACCAGAUUUUCAUGCACCCUUCCGACAGCGAACACACCGCCUUCAUAACGGACAGAGGGUUGUACUGUUACAAUGUCAUGUCGUUCGGCCUGAAGAACGCGGGGGCAACAUAUCAAAGGCUCGUUAACAGAAUUUUCGCCAAAUACAUCGGCAGCAUCAUGGAGGUUUACGUUGAAGACAUGUUAGUAAAAAGCAGAACUGCCGAAGAGCACCUGCACAAUUUGUCAAUCAUAUUCGGCAUACUAAAAGACUACCGGAUGAGGCUGAACCCGAUGAAAUGCGCCUUCGGUGUAUCUUCCGGGAAAUUCCUUGGAUUCAUGAUUAGUCACAGGGGUAUCGAAGCGAAUCCCGAAAAAAUAAAGGCCAUCAUUGACAUGGGGAGGCGGAAGACGACGAAGGACAUUCAAAGCCUUACCGGACGCGUGGCGGCCUUGACUCGCUUCAUAUCCAAGGCUACCGACAAAUGUGUACCGUUCUUUAAAGCCUUGAAAGGGGGCAAACGGAAUAUCAUAUGGACUGCCGAGUGUGAUAAAGCGUUUCAAUACUUAAAGGACUACAUGGGCAAAGCACCCCUUUUAUCAAAACCACUAUCUGGGGAGAUUCUCUACCUAUACCUUUCGGUAUCUAGCACUGCCGUCAGUUCGGUAUUGAUUCGAAAACCAGAGAAAGCAGAGUUACCGAUUUUCUAUGUCAGUAAGCCACUCCAGAGUGCUGAACUUCGGUAUCCCCCAUUAGAGCAGCUUGCACUAGCCUUUGUGGUCUCGGCACGAAGACUUCGGCCAUACUUUCAAGCGCACGGAAUCAAAGUCCAGACUAACCAACCGCUUCGGCAAGUGCUCCAAAAAUCAGAGACUUCUGGCCGAUUGAUCAAGUGGGCGAUCGAACUCAGAGAAUUCGAUAUACAAUUCAUGCCAAGGCCUGCUGAAAAGGGUCAAGCCAUUGCCGAUUUCAUCUCCGAGCUCACCCCAUCAACAGCACAGUUGACACCCGAGCUGGUAACCGAAAUCGGAAUGCCGAAGGAAGUAGACGCCGAACGCUUCGACGCCUCAACUCCGGUAUGGAUUCUGCACGUCGACGGCUCGGCAAACCAACAAGGGUGCAGAGCAGGCUUGGUACUGACAACACCGGAGGGACUCAAGAUCGAGUACGCCCUCCGAUUAAACUUCCGAACCUCCAACAAUGAAGCGGAAUAUGAGGCUCUCUUGGCCGGCCUUCGGUUAGCCAAGAGCAUGAAUGCAAAACAAAUCAGAAUUCACAGCGACUCCCAGCUCAUUAUGAACCAGGUAACGGCAGACUUCGCGGCCAGAGACGCCUCCAUGCACGCAUACCUUUCGUCUACCCAUCAACUGCUCCAAAGCUUCCGAGCCUACGAGAUCAGGCAGAUCCCCAGAAGUGAAAACAGCCAUGCCGAUGCAUUGGCACGGCUGGCUUCGGCAAUCAAUGAUAAAGUCGGAAGAAAGGUGCCGGUGGAGAUUCUUGCUCAACCGAGCACGGUAACCUCCGAAACAUGUACCGUACGGUACGAAGAUACAAAGAUGUCUCCUAUCUACUCGUACCUGACCAACGGCAACCUUACAGAAGACAAGGCUCAGGCCCGAAAGCUUAGGUACUGAUCGACAAGGUACACCGUCAUCAACGACGUCCUUUACAAACGUGGCUACACAACUCCAUAUCUCAAAUGCCUUACGGCAGAACGGGGUGACUACGUCCUUCGGGAAAUCCAUAAUGGUGUGUGCGGCGACCAUUCCGGGUCCCGGUCACUCGCCCACAAAACCUUUCGGCAGGGAUACUUUUGGCCGACCAUGCACCAGGACGCUAAUUCACUAGUGAAAAAGUGUGUUAAAUGCCAGCGCUUCGGUAACAUACAGCAUAUCCCUACCGAACCCCUUACACCAAUCGUAAGUCCUUGGCCCUUCGCACAAUGGGGACUAGACCUGAUCAGUCCGAUGCCGCAAGGUAAAGGCCAGGUAAAAUACGCAGUGGUUGCCGUCGACUACUUCACCAAAUGGGUAGAGGCCGAACCUCUGGCAACCAUAACGGCAGCAAGAGUGGAAGACUUCGUCUGGACUCACAUUUGUUGCCGGUUCAGUAUCCCGUAUGCAAUCAUUACCGACAACGGCAGGCAGUUCGAUUCGGAACUCUUCAGGCAAUUUUGCACCCGCCUGAAAAUCAACUUAUUUUUUGCAUCACCGGCCCAUCCCCAGUCAAACGGUCAAGUGGAAGCAAUAAACAACAUCAUCAAGAAACUACUGAAACGACAGCUGGACAAAGCCAAAGGAGCCUGGCCAGAAAAGCUUCCCGAAGCACUCUGGGCCAUUCGGACAUCUUACCGAACGUCCACGGGAGAGACCCCUUUCUCUUUGGCUUUCGGUUCGGAGGCCGUGGUGCCCGUGGAAAUCGACGAACCUUCCUAUCGAACGGAAACCUUCGUACCGAAGCCGAACGAAGAAGCACUUUCUCUAAGCCUCGAUCUUCUUGAAGAGCACCGGGCACAUGCCAACCUUCGGAAUGAAGCCUACAAGCAACGUGUCUCUCGGUACUACGACUCUAGGGUCAGACACCGCUCAUUCCGAAUCGGAGACUGGGUUAUGCGGAAGGUAUCCCUAGCAACCAAGGACGCCACGGAAGGGACUCUCGGACCUUCCUGGGAAGGACCCUAUGAGAUCAUCGGUAUCCUUUGAUCGGGAACCUACCGCCUAAGAGACUCCAACGGCAAGACCCUCGGUCAUCCUUGGAACAUGGAACAUCUCAAAUACUAUUUCAAGUAACCUAGCCUACGGCAGGACAAAGUUGUAACCUAGCCUACGGUAGGACAAAGUUGUAACCGAUUUGAAUGUAUUUGCCCUUCGGCAUAGAUUAAUAGAAAGCCUUCGGCACUAUUACUUCAGGACCUCCUUUUUAAUUGCUCUACUAGCCCACGGCAGCCAAUAGUGGCAAGUUAACGUUCUACUGCAUCUUUAUUAGCCUACGGCAAUAAAUGUUUUUCGAAAUUGUUACCUACAGAUUCCAUCGGAACUUAUCAAUUUCGAAGUGUCCCUUUAACGUUAUAAAUCCUAUACGGAGCCUUUCGGCGAUAGUACGAUCGGCAAUUGAAACAAACUCAGAUUGUUCAAACAGUAGAUAAAAACAUGCAUUUGAAUUAAAGAUGCCCUCAGCAUAAGUACACAAAACAAAAAUAAAACAGAAAACUAAUUCAACUAUUACAAGUAAACGGCAAGAGGCCCUCAGGCUUCGUCGCCGGCAGCAGCCUCGGCAGAUUCGGAGCCUUCGGCGGCGUCCUCCCCCUUAUACUCCACGAUCAUUUCCUCGAUUAUCCCUUCCGGUAGGGGGGAAGGUCGGCGAUGAAGUUCAGGUUCAGCUUUUGCCCAGGGUUGUACCGUUUGAAUCGGUACAACAGGUCCGCCAUCUCCGAGCCCACUUCCUUAUCCAGAAGGACAGUGAACUCUUCAGACGAGCUGUACCCUCGGAUAGCUGACCGAACGGCGGCCUCGAUUUCCGCAGCCUUGGCCCGCUCCGACUCCUCUAAGGCCACCUGCACCGCCUCUUUGGAAGCCUCGGCAUCCCUGGCUGUCGCCAGCGCCGCCUCCAGGAGACCCUUCAUCUCCUCCACCUUCUCCUCCGAAGCUAGAACCUGCCGUUCGGCAGACUCUUUCUCCUUCAGCAAGUGGGCAUGCUCUUGGAGCGCUUUGCCAGCCUCGGCAACCUUGGCCCUGCCGUCCUCGUACGCCUUCUUGGCGCGCUCGGCAGCAGCGAUGGCCCGCUUGACGCAGAGCCACAUGUGCAUGGACGCCUGCACAAAACAAAAAAAGUCAGAAGCGUGCCCCACUUACAAAAAUAAAAGGACGAAGGAAGAAAGAAAAUCUUACCGAGGCCUGAAGCCGGAAGGCGCGUCCAGCCUCCUCCCGAAGAAACUUCUUCGAUAGUUCGUCGAUCUUCGGCAGCUCCAUCUGAGAGCCGAGGAUCAUAUGGUUGACGAACUGGACCGUCUUCGCCGGGCAGGCAUUGGUGACAGCCUCGGAAGGACCGUCCUCGUCCUUCACCGCAAGGACGGCCCUCGGGACCUCCGACUGGCGAGGGCGCUUAGAGACUGACUCGGCCUCCAGAUCGACCGUCUCCGGCCGUUUGCCGGCAGCCUUGGAAGCAGCGGCUUCAGUACCCAUCCGCCUCGAUGCGGAGUCCUCAUCGCCGACUCGCCUUAGCAUAGGCUCGGCACCCAGCUGCCGCAUACGAUCGGCGAGAGUCUGAUCCUCAGGAUCCACCGCCGCCUGCCGAGCAGAAGCUUCCUCAGGCUGCCUCUUUUUCUUCUUGCCCUCCAGGCCCAUCAUUAGGCGCCUCCUGGAGGACUCGUUCAUCUUCUUGGCCUCGGCAGCCUUCCUGGCGUCCGUCACUGGUCAAAAAGCGUUUGGUCAGUCUACAAGCAAAAGCCAUACAGGAAAACAAAAAAGAGGAGAAUGAAUGAUAUACUUACUCUCGGCAGGGUUAACGAGGCCGGCUCUGAUGAGGUUGUCGGUGAAGAGGAAACGUGGGUAAACUCGCUCGGCAGCAGGUACUCUCAGCCUCACUCUGUCAAGCUGCUGGAUCUCACUCUGCUUGGGGCUCGGCUGCUUGAGUUUACCUGUUAGAAGAAGGAAAAUUAGUAAAAUAAAGCAGAGAGAAGAGAAGCCGGCCUAUCAAUCGGUAUCUCGGGAACCUACCGGCAAUCUGAAAUGUCGUGGGUACCGAGAAGCGGGGGGGUGUUCCCGAUGGCGAUUCCCAAUUGCCGGAGAGCAGCACCCGCCGAUUCCUCCACGACUUUUGAGAAGUCGGCACCGAGCUGAUAAAGUGCCCCCGCUCGGAAGCCUUCAGGCAGUUCGCCUGAACCCAGCUGCCGUGAUCGGCGCUCUUGGACUUGGUAAUGCUGUAUAAGUACGAGAACUGCUCGUAGGAAGGCUCCCCCUCCUCGGCAAUCCCGAACGCAGCAAUUACCCCCAUCAAGGCCACCCAGAAGUUGGGGUUGUACUGGCCGGGAGCAUACCCGAUCUGAGCGAGGAUCUUCUGCACGAUAGGUUGCAACGGCAACCGAACCCCUUGCAGAAGAACAUCGGUGAAGAAGGUCACCUCGCCGUUCGCUGGUUCGCUGAGGGACUCGACCGGGCUCGGUAUCCUCAUCUUCACCGAAUCAGGAAUGAGGUACUUGGCCCUAAUCCUCUCCAGCUCUCGUUCGGUGAUCUUGUUGGGCUCUAGGUAGUCGACCCUGAACAGAGUCUUCUGGGGCACACCCACCGGUAUCCUAGGUUGCUCCCGGUGGAUGACCGUCACCCUCGGCCAAGAGGGACCGGCAAUGCCCUCACCGCGACCGGAGGUGGAGGCCUCAGGCUGAUGCUUUAACAGGCCGACGCGGGUACCGUCCUUGUACACCGCGGCCAAGGGUAGCGGUUGCCCCGUCAUCAGCCCCUUGCCGAUGCCAUGGGAGGGAAUAGAGCUCACCUCCUCACCGAAUAACUCAACAUCGGUGUCUUCUCCACCCUCGGCGUCGAGGCUCACAGCCCCGCUGGACGUAUCCCAUCCCGAUGACAACUCCCCAUCAACGGCGAUUCGCUAUCGGACAUCUACAAAACAAAGAAAGGGAAGCUAAGGCCCGUGCCACAAACUACCCUACAUCGCUACCUAUGGCCACUAGACUACCGAAGAAAAAUCCUACCUAACGUUUGGCUAGCCUACGCCGUAGAAAGACGUAUAAUUAAAUAAAAAGAGAGCAUUUUGAGGGUACGGAACGGUAUCUUACCUUGAGUAGUGUGGGAUGAUUUGAUCACCGAUCAGAGACUCCGGAAAUCGCCCUUUAUGCCGAAGAACCGCUGCAAAAAUCGCCUUGAUUGCCGUUCACUCUCUUCGGAAAUCGCCCGCACAGAGCUCUCGCAUUAACUUACAAUUGCAAAGUGAGCCUUGCGUCUGGAGCAACUCCUAUUUAUAGGGAGAGAGCCACAACGGUAUGCCUCGGGAGACUAAACGGCUCAUUAAUGCGCCGUCAGGCGUGCUUUUGCUGACCACGCAUCACCCGACGAAUGGCGCCGCUGACUGCACGCCAGGCACGGAAGACGAAGCGUCUCUCUGCCCUCUCGCCUCUCAGCAUCGACGACCCCUCGGGUCCCAGGUCAAUCUCUCCUGAACGAUAUCUUCCGAAAGGAUCGACACAUGCAUCCUUUCCUCCCCCCAAACGAUAUCUACCGAACGGCAGGAUAACCUCCGAACCGCCAUAGAGAACUAAAUUCUCUUCCGAAGGACCUUCGGAAGAGAACUUGGGGGACUACUGUUUAUACCGAAAUAAACGACCUAUGACCACCGAACACGUGGACGGGAUCGAUACUGAUCACAGAACCCCUUCGGCAUGCUUCCUACCGAAGCCAUCUAUCUUGGCCCUUUUUACCAUCGGACACGUGUCAUGCUCACAAUCCAUGUCCAGAGUCCCACAUCGGAAAUAUGAGCACAGUGCACACCUCCCAAGGCCUAUAUAAGAAACCCCUAUCCCCAAAAGGAAGGGAUCAGAACUAACGAUACGCUAUUGAUUGAUCUGUCAGUUAACUUUACUAAAACCGUACUUACUAAAGCAUCGGAGAGCCUUCGGCCGGUACCACACCGGUACCCCAAGGACUUACCGAACGUGUCCUUUUGUAGGUACUUACCCUUCCGAAGUAGAACAUCUACCGAAGACAGUCACCUACCGAAGGCAUAAUAUAACUAAGUUGACGAAAUACGUGCUGAACCACUUUUUCGCAUCAACAACUCUGUCAUUUUUGAUAUAAUUAAUGAGAACUCCUCUAAAAUAAGCACUCCAUCUAUGAUGACUAUAUCUUUUGUCAUUAAUAUUGUUGGCGCCAACUUUUUUUCCUGCCAAAAACCAUACAUUUAGACAAUCAACGAGACAUUUUUCCGACAACGUAUCUGUAUAUUGGAACUACAAAACAUCGCGGUGACAUUUUUCCGAGGGUUGUUAUUUUGCAAUCGGAAAAAAUGUUUUUUCCAAGCGUAUUUGUGGCCCUCGGAAAAGCUUUGUCGGUGUGAGGUGUAGUGUCACACCCAAGUAUUUUCGGUUAGGGGGAGGCCUUUGAUUCAAUAGUGGUCCCUGUGAUAUUUCAGUUUUCAAUGGUUUAGUGUGCACUUAAUUCGAACCGAUGAGAGAGAGAGAGAGAGAGAGAGAGGUCAAUUCAGGUGCAAUAAUGCAUUACCAAAAUGAAUGGAUGAAUCCAAUUUAGACAGAAGAAUGACUUGUUGUUUGAGUUUCAUUCAGCUUUUCUCUACAUCCAAACAAAAAAAGAAAACCACCAAAAAUUAUUCAUUAAACAAACUGAUAAUGUGACAAAAUCACUCCAUUUAAUCAACUGAUGAUUAGAAAGGUACAUAUAAAAAUAUAUUGAAAGAAUUAAUAGAAGAAAAUAAUUUCCAAAAUUAAUGUUUAAUUCAUGACCAUAUUAUAUGCAAAUGAACCUUUGCUACUCUCUUUAUUUAUUUAUUUAUUUAUUUUAUACUGUCGAUAUUGGAGAAGAGUAACAAAAAAAAAUGAACCCAAUUGGCUUACUUAUUUUCAGUAUAAUUUGCCUGCUACCUCAACUGAGAAAAGAAUCUAGCAACUUCUCUGUAGGCUAAAGAAAUUGAAGAAUAUUUGAAACCCACCACAAUCAAGAAGCAGAUAAGCAUGAAGUUGCAGAUGGGUACAUCCACCACCACUCCAUGCAUGCAUGCAGCAUGCUUUGUCUGAGUUCACUCCACGAGCACAUAUGCUCUUAUUUAUAAGCCAGAGAUCGUGAAGCAUUAGCUACCAGCAUUACCUCUGCUUCCUUUUCAUUUAAUUCUAUAGCAGGAUUGGUUGGUGAGGCACUUAAUUAAUUCUGCGUCAAUCUAACCUUGAUAUUAAUCUUCAUUUUCUUUUUUUCAUACCGUUAGUGGUUAUGAUCAUAAUCAGUAGUUCUAACAAGACCGUGGUCGUAUAAUGAUCGAAAUUAAGGUGGACAAAAGUUAAAAAUAAAAAAUGGUAAAACAAAAUUAAAAUUAUCCCAUCAUCAUGUGUUCUUAAGGCUCCACCAAUAUCUAUCGUAUUCAGUAUUAAAAAUGGCCCACCACAUAUACCCAAAAAAAGGAUUGUUUGGUUAGCGAUGGAGUGCAUUUUGUCGGGUUUUUGAUGGAGGUGCGAAGGGACUUACUAAUAGUCUUGCGAUCUCGGUAGAGGAAGCAGUGGAGAUACAUAAGCGAUGACCUUCAAUGAAGAAUGGAAGCAUCACUAUUAUUUUUUAUUAUAUUUUAUUUUGCUUCUUCUUUUAUCUUUAUCAUAAACUUAGAAGUAUUAGGUUCUCUAGAUUAGUUUUUGGAUACUAAUAGCAAAUCGAACUUUUGAUUAUAAUUAAUUUCCAGUUGGGUUCUAUGCAUUUAUUUCGUAGAUUUAUAGGAAGCUAAUAUGUCACUAAUUUAGAGCUGUGAAGAAUAAAUAUGAACCAAGAUGUUUACGGAAAAUUUCUAACGAAGUUUGAUUCUUUUUAUUUUAUUUUAUAUACAAACGAUAUUAGAUGAGGGGGGAAUUAAACCUAAGACCUUAAGUGCAGAGAUAAAUGCACUUGAGUUACAAGUCUCUUGCAACAAAAGUUUGAACAUGCUUUUAUCUUUAUUAAACAAAGUCAUACGAACAAAAUUGACAAAAUUACAUUUGCUAGGUCGGCUUCUAGGCCUGGCAUAACUGAGUCUAGAAGACAGAUUUUAGUAAGUAUUCUGAUGCUAAUGCAGUGUUACAUACAAGUCGUACGACCAACAUUUAUAAAUCGUCUGAACCCUUGUUUUCUCUUUCUAGUAGUUUUACACAGUUACCUAAUAAUAAUUAUAUGGCCCAAAAGUCUGUUCCUUCCUAGGUUAGGAUUUUUUUUCUUGAAUUGAUUCUAUAGCACUUGUUGCACUGUGAGCAUGAUGGAACUCACGAAUACAAGCAAUGGAGGGAUGAACCCGUCGUCGAUUACAUCAAUCGAUGACACUCGUUAAGCCUAUAUUGCAAGAAUAUGCUUUCGGAGAUAUUGAUAGUUGAGAUGUGCAUUCAAUAGAUGCAUUGGGGGUUACUCCACAUUCCAUAAGGGAUUGAACCAUGCACGUUUGAGGAGCUAGCCACUUGUGCCCAUGAUAUUGAGUUAAGUAUCACUAGCCAUGGGGAAAAGAAUGAACCUGUCAUAGAGCAUAAAAAAGAUAGUUUUUGGGCAAAAGACGGACAAGCCUACUAAGAAGCCUACCAAGGAAGCAAUGAUAAUCAACACUAUCCCUGUCAAAAUCUCCACCCAGGAUAAGAAGAGAAAAGUCAAAAGAAUGAAGUCAUCCCAAGAGGUGGACAGACGUCGAUGCACCUUGAAGGAGUUGGAGGAAAAAACGUACAAUUUCCCUAACUCCAAUUUCAUAGGUAUGCUUGAGGACUUACUCAAACAAAAGUUGAUUGAAUUGCCAGAAUGUAAGCGACUUGAAGAGAUGAAUCAAGUUAAUGACCCUAAGUUUUACAAGUACCACCGAAUUGUCAACCACCUAGUAGAUGAGUGCUUUGUGCUGAAUGAGUUGAUUAUGAAUUUGGCAAGGCAAGGAAUGAUUGAGUUGGACGUUGACAAAGUCGCAUACACAAACAUUGCUACAAUUGUGUUUGGAUCCUUUGAUCCUGUGCUGGUGCCAGCAUUGUCACCAAGAUUGGAGUUUCGAUCAACAAGGGGCAUAUACUAAGUGGAUGAUCUAUGUGCAAAAGAAGUGGUGGGCGAACCGAACUAUCGAGGUGGUGAUGGAAUCAUUGGUGACUCGUCUUUUAAUGACAAUGAAGGAUGGAAGCUCGUUAUCCGGAAGAAGUCUCGUAGGAAGCACACUCCUCAAUGACAAAAUGCUCAAUUAAAGAAGAAGCAACGAAAGAGAAGCUUGCGCCAAUGCCCUAAGAGCAAAAUCAAAAUAAUGCUGAGGAAAGACCCUAACCAAGAUGGUGAACCACUAAGCUGCAAAGUCAUCAAUCAAUGCAUAUCCAUUUUAAUUUCCACUUACGAGUCAAUAAAAAAGAUAACAAAGUAGGGCUCGAAGUAUGAUAUCAUCAAAAUUCAAAAUUAUGGCAAGACCACAUAGUUGCACACAAUAAGCUAGUCAAUAAAACCAAACAAAUGAUAAUCUUUAUAAAGAAAAGUAAAAGCCAACACAAUCUUUCCAAUCUUUUAAUAGCCAAUUUGAUGCAGCUUAAUGUCCAAUUAGCCUAAUUCAAGGGCCAGUAUGGUCAUUUCCAUUAGUUUUGAAAACUAAUGGCGCAAACAAACGAGUAAUCAUCUACAAGAAAGUAUCUUGGCCAACGUCAUAAUCUUCUCCGCCAAAUAUUAAACAAAAAAUAUCAAAAUGGCAAAAGGAGAAGAAAAGCAAUGCAACCCUCACAAUUCAACAAGUGAAUGGAGUACUCAAAGCAACUCUCCCAAAGCCAAACUCAAAAGUUUAUGAACUUGAACUUCUCACUAACCUCAAAAAAUCUGUGUUUAGAGGAGAUGAGGUGGGUACAAAGGUGCUUCGCGUCUUAGUCUUUCAACGUUUAGAGGAUCUUUCCAAUCAUCAACAAGGGAAGGUUCACACCCAAAAAAAAAAAAAAAAAAAAGGAUGACUGAAAGAACCCGCCCCGAAUUUCCCGAAACCCGAGACGAAUCCUGUGAAAUUUUCGACAUCACCCCGAUGCCGGGCCCACUUACUAAGGACGGAGACCUUCUGCCGAAAUUUCGGCAGAGUCUUCCCAAUAAAUUGGACAUUCCCAAAAUUUUAACCUGCAUAAAACACAAUUUAUAUUCCCAACUGGCAGCAUGCACAAGACAAUUUCAUGCAAUUCACAUAAACGGCCUUCGGCCUUCUAAUAAUUCUCAACAAACUACCAAGCACUCUAUCAACUCUAUUCAUACCUUAAACAAGGCAAACAAUAAUUUCAAUUAUGAAUACUAAAUGCAACCUGCAUCAUCUACUUUUCCAAUUUCAAGAUACGAGGUUUUAACCUCC
RNAcentral lists this long non-coding RNA (75942 nucleotides) under Prunus persica (peach). Its description in RNAcentral is "long non-coding RNA (PPER_LNC002352)". The stretch from base 46197 to 46301 matches the Rfam family "MIR6274 microRNA precursor family". The record is from RNAcentral. Lineage: Eukaryota; Viridiplantae; Streptophyta; Magnoliopsida; Rosales; Rosaceae.